This 81690-nucleotide long non-coding RNA is filed under the name Gossypium barbadense (sea-island cotton). RNAcentral's name for it is "long non-coding RNA (GBAR_LNC001049)". Lineage: Eukaryota; Viridiplantae; Streptophyta; Magnoliopsida; Malvales; Malvaceae. The record is from RNAcentral.
CUUAGUUAAAGGUAAAUUCUCAGUUUUGAUUUAUGGGGUUUGAUCAUCGAUGCAUGAUAUCCUAUGAUAAAUUGGUUAUAGUUGUUGACGAACUCCUAACAAUUAAUCUCUUCUUACCUUCUCGAUAACCAAGAUGAAUACCAUUGAUUACUUCCUGUGUCGAUAAAUAGUCCUAUAACAAACGAAUAAGAUUCAAUUUACCAAUAGCAUUAAAAUCUAAAGAGACUCAAUUCUAGUAAACAAACACACAAACAGGGUUCAUUCAAACCAAAUCAUAUGUCCACAUAAUAAUUAAUUUCAUACUUCGACAUACACAAUCAUGCUAUUCGUCAUAAGUACUAGAAUCAAUUGAACAACUAAAUUCUAAUUGAUAAGACAAAUAUGUCAAGCUAUCUAACAUGAGUUCUAUAUUGAUAGAAAUAAAGUUUUCCUAAAAUUCUAGUCCCCAACAACGAUGCUAAAAACUUGAUGAUCAUGAAACUAACUAAAAAGUUGACUAAGGCAAGUGCACCUAUCAAUUAAUAGUAUAACUAUGGUGGGUAAAUAUAUCGUUCCCAAGAGAGUUACAAAUACUAGUAGUUACUGUCUUUCUAUUAUUUAACCGAAUAAUUCGAAUGAUCAAUUGAAAAAUAAAAUUAACUAAUGUAAUUAACUAAUGAAUGCCACAAAAAAUUACGAAAAUAAUUGAAUAACAACAAAGAAAUGAAACAAUACUCAGGUAAGAAUCAGCCUAUAUUUUAUUUGCCACUAUCAAAUCAAAUUACACAAUUUCUUUACUUAGUAGCUUGAUCCGUGGAAAUGCCUAAAUUAUGCAAAUGUCUCUUUCGAGCAUAAGAGCAUCAGACUCUAGGUUGUUUAAUUGAAAUUUCUUUCUAAUUAAAACCCCUAUUAUCACAUUAAGUCGUGCUGUGGAUUCCCCUAUUAGAUUUGACUCUAAUCCGGUAGAUUUAUGUCGUCCUAUUUCUAGGAUUGCAUGCAACUUCACUCAAUUACCCAAGAUCUAAUCUUAAACAAGGUCUAUUCAACUACCGAUUUAAGUACAUUGAACAUGGAUCAAUACUUUAGAAAUAUUAAACCAAGCAUUUAGUACACAUAAUUGAGAAUAAGAAACUAAUUAUUUAUUACGUAAAAUAAAAAUCAAACGACAGAAUCCAUCAUAAGGUUCAUCUCCCCUGGGUAUUUAGAAAAUUAGUUCAUCCUCGAAAAUAGAAACAUACAAGAUACAGUACUAUAACCAAAAGAAAUAAAGAAACUCAUAAUAACUUUCUAAGAAAUUAACUUGGAAUCUUCAAUCUUCACGGAAAUCUGCUUCUAAGUCGAGUUCAAUGGUAUUUUUCGAGUUGUUUUCUUAAAUAUUCUCUGACAACUCCGCUCCUAUCUUUUUUUUUUCAUAUAUAUAUAUGUCUUAAAAUGCCUAAAAAACCUAAAAAUCACGAUUUUUAUUGUUCGGUGCACAAUCCUGUGAAAUCGACAUGGCCUACUACACGCUCGUGUGGUCUGGCUGUGUGAAAUGGUUCAGCCGAUGUAGCUCCUGUAGCUUACUCCAAUGCUCCGGUUUUCGCUCUUUUUGCUCCAAAGUGCUUUAUUAAGUAUAAAAACAUGAAUUUAAAAGAUUUAGAGUAUAAAAUACACAAUUAACAUUAAAUAAUCACCUAAAAAUACGUUAAAAAUGUGAUUAAAACAUGUUAUUUUUAGCACUUAUCAUCAACAAACUUGGAUAUUUAUAAUUAAAGCAAAAAAUAUAUAAAUAACAAAUAAUAUAGAAAAAUUAAAAAUAAAUUAGAUCCCACGAAUUUAAAAAAUCAAAAUAUCGAAAAUUGUUUGAUUAAAAAAAGAGUUUAACAACCCAUGAAAAAACAAACAUAAAAAACAAAAUAAUAUUAAACUUGGCUAUUUGUGAUUCUAAAGUUUUAAAGCAUGCAUAUAAAAAAGUACCCCUAAUGAAUUCAAGAGCCAAUCUUCUCACAUUCGCAUUAUUAUUUUCGUAUUAUACGGUAUGUGUUUGCUUUUAGGUAUGAGACACAAAAAACCACGUUCAGAAUGAAAUCACAAAAUAGUUAUACCUAACCUUUAGUUGUGUCUUCCAUAAAAAAUAUAUAUCACAAACCCUAAACAUUUUUCAAAUUUAAAAUAAUUCUCUAUAUUUUAAUAUUAAAUAAAAUACUAAUCACGGGAGUUAGAUGAGAUAAUAAGGAUCUCUCCUACCUUAACCAGUGCUUGAGGGUUCGAUCCUCAUCCUGGGUAUGGAGCAGGUUUAAAACUCAUGACCAAUAUCUACCCCUUAAUGGACCUACAAAAUGCAUAAGAUUAAUUAGUUAUUAAACUCACUCCGAUAUUAAAUAAAGUGCCAACAAUGAGUAUCUUGAUUACAUUACUUUCCAAAAACGAUUUUUCUUUUUCAAUUUUGUAAUUUUCGUGGCAUAUCAUAUUAGUAAGUAUCAUGGUACUUUAUUACUAUAUUGUAUUCGUCUUAUUCUAUUGUUGUUUAAUAGGGAUUGAUAUAGAUCUUCUAAUGUUAGCAAGUCUCGAAAUAAUCUUUAUUAUUGAGAGAUUUUUUUAAGUUAUUGUACUGAGAUUAAUAUUUCUCACUAAGUUAGACUCUACAUAUAUAGCGAUACUGAGUUGGGUAAAUAACUCUUUUAUAUUAUGUUUUUUUAUAAUUCUUAUUGAGUGGUGUAGGAGUACCCACCAUUUUAUCACUCUUUCACACACUUGACUUGAUUCUUAACAACUUUUACAGACUAAAAAUAAUGAAUUGUUUGUGUGAGCAUAAGUUUACAAGCAUAGCGAAUACAUCAUAAGUUUGAUUAUAUAGAAAUUCUAGUAUCAUGUUUUAAGGUUUAUUGUCUCUUUCUACUAAACUUGGCCACCACUUUUUUGGUUUUGUGUUCAAAUACAUAAUAAUCAUAAUAAACUAAGGACAUAGCUAUUAUUUGGAUGUUUUUAUUUUCAAGCAUGAACUAAUUUUCUAAAUACCUAGGGGAGAUGAACUAUAUGAUGGAUUCUGUUGUUUGAUUUUUUUUUUACGUAAUAAAUACUUAGUGUCUUAUUCUCAAUUAUGUGUACUUAAUUCUUGGUUUGAUAUUUCUAAAUCAUUAAUCUAUGUUCGAUGUGCUUAAAUCGGUCGUUGAAUAGACUCUAUUUAAAAGUAGAUAUUGCUUAAUUGAGUGGAGUUGCAUGCAAUCCUAGAAAUAGGAUGACAUAAAUCUAUUGAAUUAGAGUCAAAUCUAAUUGGAGAAUCUGUAGUAAGAAUUAAUGCAAUAAUAGGGGUUUUAAUUAGAAUUUUUUUAAAUUAAUCAACCUAAAUUCAGUUGUUAUUAUGCUCAAAAAAGAUAUUUACAUAAUUUAAAGAUUUCUACGGAUUAAGGUGCUAAGUAAAGAAAUUGCAUAAUUUCGAUUGAUAGUGACAGAUGAAAUCUAGACAGAUUCUUUCCUGAAUAUUGUUUUGCUUCUUGGUUGUUACUCAAUUAUUUUCGUGAUUUAUUCUUUGUCGCGUUUGUUAGUAGUUAAAUUAGUUAACUCUAGUUUUAAUCAAUCACUUAAAUUAUUCAGUUAAAUAAUAGAAAACAAUAAUUACUAGUACUUGUAGUUCUCCUAGGAACAAUAUCUUUACUCACCAUAGUUACACUAUUAAUUAAUAGGUGCACUUGUCUUAGUCAAAAUUUUAGUUAGUUUCGUGAUACAUCACUUGCCAUGAAGUUGUUCUAUUGAUUUCACUUAGAAUCUAUGGAAGAAAUUUGAAGUUUAAAGCUUGAAAGGAUAGGAAAUGAAGGAAAGGGACUAAAAUGAAAGAAAAAUGAAACUUGCUAUAGAAAGGGAUGAAGGUGGUGUGAAUGAGAAAGAAGAAAAACAAUGAUGGAGGAUAAUGCCAAAUGAUGGUGAAAUGAGUUUUGUAGAUCUAUCCAAAAAAUAUCUACUAAAUUUUUAUAUUUUAAAUUACUAAUAAAAAAAAUCAAGUCAUCAUCGUCCAAACAAGUGAACCACAUUGCAAUUUAUUUUCAUCCACAAAAUCAUGUACCCAUUUGGGUUAAAUUGCUCUUCAAGUCCUUCCUAUUUUUUCAUCUAAUUAAUUUAGUUAUUUCUUAUUUCUAAUUUUUACACUAUUACCCAAUACUUCUCACACUUUUACAAUUUAGUUCAUACCUUAAAUUAAUUUCUCUUUAUUUAAAAAUCCUUUUAAUGUCUUAUGACAUCCAACUACCUUCUCCAUUAAUAAUAAAAAAUCUUAUUUUAUCUACUUCAAAAGUUCUAACACUUGCACAAUCCGAAAUGAUAUAUACUAUUCUCAUUUGGGGUAUUAAAGAUAUUAUAUGUAUGAUAUACAUUAGGAUUACUUAUUAUAAUUGUUGAAGAAGUUGAUAUUUUUCAUUGGGCUAAACUUUGUAAAUGUAGGAAACCAAAUUAAAUAAACAACUUCGUUUUAUUGUUUCUCUUAGUAUAAAUUUAGCGAAUACAUAAUAAGUUUGAUUAUAUAGAAAUUCUAAAAUCAGGUUUAUUGUCUCUUUCCACUAAACUUGCCACCGCUUUUUUGGUUUUGUGUUCAAACACAGGCUAGCUAUUAAGUUCUGUCUAUAAAUAGUGAAGCUCAUGUAAAGAAUAAGCAUAUAGAAAGAGAGAGAGAUCAAAUUAAUCGAUAGUUAGAAAUUGCUGCUGCCUAAAAAUAAAAACAAAAUGUCUUUCGCUGCGCCAAGGUUUAUAGUGCUGAAAUCCAAGGAGGAAUAUUUGGGCAUUGUCGAUGGAAAUGGAGCGGACGAUGGGUAUCUCAAAUUUUCAUCGGCAACACAAGCAAAAAGCGCGUAUGCAAAAUUUGAGGUGGAGGAGGCGGCUUCCGGACAUGGCUUGGUGCACAUAAGGAGCUGCCGAAACAACAAAUACUGGGAACGAGUCCAAAAGAAUCCAACGGGUGGAAAUUCAGACUGCCUAUACUGGAUUGCUGCAACUGCCAAAACGCGGGAGGAAGACCAAUCCAAGGGCUCCUGCACAUUGUUCAAGUUUAUCCCUGUGGACACUGCAGUAAAUACUGUCCGAAUUAUGCAUGUCCAGUCAAAAUGCCCUUUAUUCCUAGGUACUAACCGCUACGUGUUGGCGAGCAACCACGUUUCCGACGGUAGUUCGGAUGAUACCUUCACAAUCAUCAACAGGGAGUCGCUGGAUUUGCCAAGGUAUGUGGCAUUCAAAGGAGAUAAUGCUCAAUAUCUUCGUCUUCGUCAUAUGAACGGUCACCCAUAUUUGCAGUUUUCAUCUAGUGAUAUUAGCGACCCAAAUGUGGCAAUGGAGUUUUCCGUUAAAAAUGACGGAAUGCUCCUCAUCAAGCCCGUUUCUUCCGAUAAAUAUUGGAGGGACAGCAUGGGUUGGAUUUGGGUAGAUUCCACCAACACCAGUGAUCGAAACACUUGGUUCCGCCACUUUAAAGUUAACGACAACACGAUAGCUCUCAGCACCCUUCGCAACAAUGACUUUUGUAAGCGCCUCACAGCCGAUGGAAAGGAUGAUUGCCUUGAUGCAUGCAUUCCCACCAUUACCCAAGAAGCCCGACUGUUGGUGGAAGAGCCAGUCAUGGAAAGGCAUAUUCAGGGUAUCAAAUAUGACCUUGAUAAUCGGAGGGUGCUUGAGGAGACUGUCAUGGUUAUGUGCGCGAAUACUCACAAAAACAAUACCCCCCAUUCACAGUUUUAUGAAGUGAAAUUUUCUCUUCAAAAUACUGCCACUCGCACUUGGAAGGAUAAUCUUUCACUCAAGCCAGGACUGAAAGCCACCUUUGAUGUCCAACUUCCAUUAUUGGUUGAUGGGAAGACUAAACUAUCAACGGAACUUCAUGCAGGAUACGAGUUUGGAAAGACCUAUACCAAUACCUCUAAAAUGGAAUUCACCCACAAAGCUGAGGUGUCUCCCAUGAGUAAGAUGACCGCAAAUCUGGUUUCAACACUUGGUAAGUACGAUAUUCCCUUCACCUACAUGCAAAAGGACACUCUUUAUAAUGGGAAAACUGUCAAAUAUGAUGCGCAAGACGGCACUUACACCGGUUCUAAUUUCUACAACACCAGACUCGAAAUCAAAGAAGUGCCGCUCAACUCUUGAAUUUCAGAGCAACUAUACAAUAUUUGCUAUAGAUGAUAGUGCUUGUUUGUUUGUUAUCCGUGUGUGUACUAAAUUAAAUAAGACUGUGUGUGUAGAAUUCUGAGUUUGGUCAGAUAGGUGUACUCUUUUUCCACUUUUUGUAUGUAUACAUAUAAAGAGUGGUUUUUUAAUGAGGCACCUUUAAAAAUAAUGUGUUUCCUUUGUGAAAGUCUAUGUAUGAGUGUGUGCAUCUACGAAAUUAAAUAAUGUUUGUAUUUCCUUCGUACAGGCAGGUGUGUGUUCAUCUACUAAAUUAAAUGAAUGCGUAUUGUAGUUUCUUUCAAUUAUACAUUCAAUCCUAUGAUAAAUUAAUUAUAGUUGCAUGAUAUUCUACGACAAAUUGGUUAUAAUUGUUGACGAACCGCCAAUAAUUGAACUCUUUUAAUAUUUUCGAUAAUCAAGAUGAAUACCAUUGAUUACUUUAUCGAUAAAUAAUCCUACAAGAAAUUGCUAAGAUUCAAUUUACCAAUAGCAUGAGACUCAAUUCUUGUCAGCAAAUACACAAACAAGAUUCAUUGAGACAAAAUCAUAUAUCCACAUAAUAAUUAAUUUCAUAUUAAUUUCAUCUUUGGACCAAAAACAAGCAAAGAGUGGAAUACCACAAAGAGAAAGUGUACCUACAAAAAAAAUAAUUUGUGUAAUGGGCACGUGCUUUCUUAAACCGCCCAUAAAAAUCAUAUUCUGCUUUUCAAUGGAGAAUAUCCAUCAAUAACUUCCAUGAAAUGAAUAAUCAGUCCGAAUACUAAAAACAACAAUGCUUUCGAAUAAUCAUGGGUAAUCAAAUGAAAUAAAACGGCUCGAUAAUACCCCAUAUCUAGAGCUAAUUACAUUAUAUAACCAAGUUGGGACAUUGUAGAAUAGGCUAAACUCCUCUCAAUAUCUUUUUGAGCAAGGGCCAAAGUAGCCCCUAACAAUUCCGUUAUUAUACUUAUUAAAGAUUUUAGAUUCAUUAUGUAAAGUAUAACUAUAAAAAGAGGAAGAAUGUGGGCUAGAAGAAAAAUUCCCAUAGCUACCAUAGUGGCAGCAUGUAUAAGAGCCGAAAUUGGAGUAGACCCCUCCUGUAACGCCCCAAUUUUCGCGAAUUCUGUGGAUGUUGGCAUAGGUUUAAUUAUGUUAGUGGGCCUCUAGAAGGCCCAAGCUUAAGAUAGAACCCGGUAAUUUUAGUUAAUUUUUGUUCCAUAAGAAAAAGGGAGUGAAAUUAUGAAAUAGGACCUAUGUGAAAAUGUUUGAAAAUGCUAUAGGCUAAUUUGUAGUGGCCAAAUAAAUAGUAGUGCAAAAUAGGAGGAUUUGCAUGUCAAAUUCCCCACUUUUAAUGUAGUGGCCGGCCAAGGUGAUGGAUAGUUGAUAAUGUAUGCAUUUUAGCAUUUUAAUAGUUAAUGGAUGGUGGGCAUGGUAAGCAUUAUGGGCAUAUUUUUAUUGGAAUUAUGGCAUGAGUAUGGCACAAAUAUUAGUAUAUCAUUUAUGUGUCAUAAAAUGUUGAGUGAUAAGAAUAACAAAAGGAAGUAAAGGAAGGUUUUUGUUCAUUCUUUGUUCUUCAUAGCCGAAUUUGAGAGAGAGCAAAUAGGGGAAGAAACCCUUGAAUAUUCGGUCACUAGGAGGGGGAAAAAUUGAAGGUAAGUUCUUGGUACUUUGCUUCUAUCUUGAUGUUCAUGAGUUCUUCUUGAUUCUACCCUAACUCAUGAAGCAUAUUUUGGUUUUUGGUUGUUGUUUCAUGUUCUUUUGAUGAAAAAUGGAAGAUAGGUGAAGUUGAGCCAAAAAAAUGAGCAUGCAUGUGCCUUAGAUGCUAAGGGGAAAAUUCGGCUAACAUGUUGUGCUUUAAAAUGAUGAAAUGGAGAUUAUACUUAAGUAAAAUCAUAGAUAUGUGAUGAUUGAUUGGUGAUAUACAUGUUUAAAUAACAAGCAUACAAGUUAGGUGUGAAAGAGUGAUUUGGUAAUAAAUCUGCUUGGGACAGCAGCAGUAACGUGACUUUGGAAAAUCACCAUAAAUUGUGGGAGAUGAGUUAGAAGCUGCAUAAAUUAUGUAAUUAAAGCUUAAUGAGUCUAGUUUCAAAUGGAAUAAACGAGAACAUAUUUUGAAUUCUGUACAAUGAGAAAUUUGAUUCGUAAUGAAGAGUGGUCAGAUUAGUCAAACAGUGAAACAUGGGAAAACUUUAAGAAAAAUCUGGUAUUGAUUGGCCAUACUAAAAAUUCUGAAAAUUUUAUGGAUAGAAGAUAUAUGAGUCUAUUUUCAAGGAAAAUUAACGGCACUUGAUUUGGAGUUUCGUAACUCCAGUUAUAAAUGAUUUAGUGACUGUUGCUCAGGAAGACAGCUUGCAGUGAAAUUAUGAUUAUGGGGUAAACAUUGACAAAAAUUUGUUAAUGAGUUGCUUAUUAAUUUCUUAUAAGCUUACUAUGAUCUGUAGGUGUGAUUGGCUGAAUAUUAUAAGGGGUUAAUACGUAGUUUGUAUUUGAAUAGUUAGAUUAACGUGUUAGUAAUCCAAUUGUAGGCGGUUCGUGUGUGGAUCUCGUCAGCAUAUUGUCGCAAACAGGUGUGUAACUAACACCCUCUUUCUUAGUCUAGAUCGGCAAAAGUCAAAAAGUCAAAAUGCCGAAAAUCGGUAUUUUGUAGAUUUACGAGUGUGCGAAUGCUCGUGAGGUAAAUCGAUUAAUGCUUUAGGUAAGCUGCAAUGUUUGGACUGCAAAGUGCAUGAUUUCUGUGCCCUCGAUAUUUUUGGGCUUAAUGGGCCAAAAUUGGAAUGAUGGGCCAACGGGCCCAAUUCGGUAAGAACCCUCGGUAGUGAUUCUGUUAGUACGUGAAAGGUAGGAAUAUGCAUGAAAAACCCUAAAAUAGAUAAAUUACUGAAAUACCUUUAAAAGUGAAAAAUUUACAGUUUUACCCCUAGGAGAUAAAUUACCAAAAUACCCCUAGGGUUAAAUUGACCUAAAUGCAUGUUUGACUGUUGUUAUUUACUGCAUGCCAUGUUGUUAUUAUCUGAUGCAUGAGACUAGGAUAUUGACGGAGGAAGUACUGAAAGUGGCUUGUCCACGUAUUGGAGGCUUUGCCUCAAUUUACUGUUAACUGAGCAGCAAGGCUGCAACUGUAGAGUGUUGGGCUGGGUGAGUUGAGUUAUUCCCCACAUGGAGUGUAUGGCUGGUACGGGUGGAGUGUAGUGGUUGGUGGGUUGAGUAGUCUCCCCAAAUGGGCUUGCAUAUGUUUACUGAUGUUGCAUGUAUUUUGAAAUGGGCCUAUGGGCCAUACUAUUAUCUGAAUAAGGGGCUAAGGCCCAGUUUAUUGUAAUCUGAAAAGGGCUCUGGCCCAGUACCACUGUUACCUGAAUGGGCUUAGGCCCAAUGGGCUUGAGCUGACUUGGGCUUUGAAUGGGUUUUCCUUACACAUUGAGUAGGUGAGCCUUGAUGUGGGUGACUUGGAGCCGGAGGGGAUUUAGAGUGGCCAUGGUAAAUACUUUUGGGUUUGAAAAAGAGACUGGUUUUCUUAAGUUAUUUUUAAUUACUAUUUAAUUUUUGGGUUGUAAUAAGGCCAUUUUAACUUUAUUUUCUUCUUUGAUUUUUCUGGGAUUAUAUUAUUAAAAAAACUUUAAAUUGAUGGAUACUAAUUCAAAUGGGCUAGACUUAGGGCGUGAUUUCAAAAUGAUACUUGUUUUUUUUAAAAUAACACGACGUCACGAAUAUUCGAUUUACCAAAGAUAAUCACUCAAAGAAAUUUUGUUAGGAUCGUCCCGAUUAAGCAACGAACAAGUAAAAAUAGUAGAAGAAAUUGAGAAGAUGAACACACAAAUUUAACGUGGAAAAACCCCUCAAAAGAGGAUAAAAAACCACGGGAAAGAUAAUUUUACUAUAAUGGCAAAAGAAUGAAGAGUACAAAAGAUGGAGAUAAAAACUAAAUCCCGAAAACCCGAAAAACAAAGAACCCUCAAACGUAAACACAAAAUUCUCUGAAUGUGUUAUGAGUUCUAAUCUAAUGGGUGUCUCUUAAUUCUAAGAUUGUAAAGGAGCCUAUUUAUAGGCUAAAUUAGUAAGUCAAAUAAACUAUACUAAUAAAUGCUAAAUAUAUUAUACUAAUAAAUACUAAAUCUUCUAGAAAGAAAAUAUAUUUUUGUUUAACUUGACUUGCAAGCAAUCUCUUAGAAUUUGGGUCACAUAAUUCUAACAAAUUUCAACUUGUUAUAACCAAGUGUGGCAAUGGAUGUGGGCAUGUCUAGGAUUGGAUCCAAUCGGAGAGCUUGGUACUUAAGCAGCCUUCAUGGCUCACCUCCUCUGUUAUGGAUACUUACCUGGUGCCCAGCUUCCAUUCACUUGGUUAGUUUGACAAAAGUCGGCUUUUUAAAACACUAAAAAGGGAGCACGGGUUUUUGACUUCAAAGUGGCACGUCGGAUUCGGCCUUAACGUCUGGGCCGGGUUUGGGGUGCUACACCUCCAUGGCAUCAAGUAACCAUACAUGAAGAGGAAAUUGCGCUGAUUUAGCAACUAUGCCGAUAAAUAAUAAAGAGGCACAUAGAGUAACAAAUAAAAAAUGGACCUCAUUAUUAUAAAUCAAAUAAUUAAAUAUUUCGAAUAAAUCUUAAAAUUCGUAACUUCCCGUUAUCCAAUAAAAACAUAAAAUUCCUAAUAAUAAACCAAAAUUGCCUAUCCGAUUAGUUACAAAUGCUUUUUCACAAGCGUUUGCCGUAGCGUGUCGUAUAAUCCAAAAUCCUAUUAAUAGAUAAGAACACAUUCCAACUAAUUCCCAAAAAAUAUAAAUUUGUAUCAAAUUCGAACAGACGUACACAACCAUACUAUUUGCCACAAGUAUUAGAAUCAAUUGAACAAUUAAAUUCUAAUUGAUAAGACAUAUAUAUCAAGCUAUCUAAUAUGAGUUCUAUAUUCAACAAAUCUGAAUAUUUAUAGUACAAAUAUCAAAGAAUAUUAAAAAAAUUAAAAAUAAUAUAGAACCCACAAACUUAAAAAACCAAAGCAAGGAAAAUUGUUUGAUUAACAAAAGAGUUUAGCAGCUCUUAAAUUGAAUUAAAGGACGUCUAGACCAAUAAGUACUUCAGAGGCUUUUGCACUGGCAAUAGUAGGGUUAAGCAUUCGGAUGCCUUUAAAGUAUGGUGGUGAGAGUGUUGAAGAGAAUGUGAGUAUUGGUCUUUGUUUGAUUAGUUGUUUUAUUUCUGCUACUAUGUAUUCAGUUAAGAAAAUUUUGCAAAGUUGCUUUUAUUAGCUUUGGUACUACAGUUUAUUAUAUGCUACAAGUUUUUGAGACUGGAAUGACUUGGAUUCUCCAUGGCCUUUUUCUGUAUUUGUUAAUGAUUGAGAAAAAAAAAAGUAAUUCGGAGGAUGAAAACUCUUAAUAAUGAUAGGUUGGUAUUGGCUUGAGCUUUUAACUUGUGGAACUAAAGUACAUCAGUUCGACUAUAUAUGUCCUCAUGUAAUUUGAAAAUGUUAAAAUUUUAUAUUUUUAAGUAGAAAUUUAGUGCGAUUUGUGCUGACAUGGAUAGUCAGGACGAAAUCAGAAAAGUUUUUAAGCGGGCGAAAUUAGAUUAUAAUUUUUAUCAUUUUAAUAGUUUGUAUCUUUUAUUGUACAUUUCUUUAUAGAACUAAUUAUGAAGUUCGUAAAUAUAACAAAUUUAAUUAAUCAAUAUGAGUUAUUAAAUUAAAUUAAUUAUUUUAUCAUGAGUUAUUAAAUUUAAGUAAUCAAUUUAUAAGUUUGUGAAGUUCUGAAUUCAUAGUAGAAUGUUUAAUUAGGGGUUUAUUGAAUUGAUAUCUUUAAUCCUAGUAAUUGAAGAUUAUUUUCAUUUAUUAAAACAUAAAAAAAAUUUGAUGUGGAAUUUAAUUAUCUUAUUGAAAUAAUAUUUUAAUAAGAUAAUUUUUAUUUAAUAAAUUAUAAUUAAUAUGUUUGCUUGUAUAAAAUAGUUAUAAUUUUACUUGAAAUUUUUGACAAUAUGCUAUUUCAGAGAACUAAUUUAAUAAAGAAUAUACUUCAUAACUAUGGUUGUUGCUUUUAUAAGUGGAAAAUUAUUAUAAAGGGUUAAAAUAAAAUAUUAAAAAUCGAUUUUACUAGAAAGUUGGUUGUUAUAGUGAAAUGUAUUUUUUUUUUGUAAAAUAAAAUAGCUUUAAGCGACAUUGUUAAGAAAACAAAUCAGUUCCUUUUACAACCAAUAUAAUUUGCUUGAACUAAAUCCCGUACUGAAUAAGAUGGUUCUUCAAACAGUUGGACCUCUGUGAAACUUGUAGCCGUAACUUUAACCAUAUGGUCAGCAACUGUAUUAUGAGCUUUUGGAAUAUGUCGUAUACAAAUCUUCCAACUUAAAUGUAUCAUUCAAUGAAUAGAGCAUAAUUACAACAUCUUAUUAUCAGUUGAACCCCAUGUGAUGGCCUGGGUUCAAGUCGUGCUAGUCGCGUUUGUUGUUCAAGCAUUACCUUAUCAUUAGCUCUCCACCCUACACGAGUGAACCGCUCCAAACCUCCACCGUCUUCUCUAUUUUGUUGAAAUUUUACAUCAAUAAUUGAUGUGUUGAGCAUCAACUCACUAUUUAGAUCUAGUAAAUAAAAUGCGACUCUUCCAACAAUUGAUCAAAAUUACUUGCGUUCACAUGAUAAAAUUUGAUCUAAAACAGGUUAGUCUCUACUAUUCAACAUACCCACUGUGUUAGUGUGGGUUGGUCUCUUGCCAAGCAGUGAACUCCACUAUAUUUCGAGCUAUUAUUAAUACAUACGUAUGUGUUAAAAGAAGGACCCUUCUCCAUAUUUGAGAGCUCUGCAUAUGAGAGAGCUCCAUCAUGUGUUAGUAUGGCUUUAUUGCUUGAAAACUCAUUGCUUCCAUGGAAGUAAAUUUCUUUUAACUGGAUUGCCUCGAAGUUUAUAUUUUGCUGAUUGAGUUUCAAAACAACACACUCUGGACACUAUAUUUAGAGUAUUUGAGCACACCACACACAAAUCUCUUUAAUUAUUCACAUAUCAAAAGUACAUGAUAUUUACAUGAUAAAAAUAAAAGUGCACAACACACAUUGGCUUCCAUGAAAGAAGCACAGUUUUAUUUAGUUUCGUACAUACACACACCCUGCCUGACUCAGAUCCUGUCGUGCCUUCCCCGUAGCAGUAGUUGCUUAAACGGAAGAGCUGAGUGAUUUGGUUUGAAAGUUGAGACUGUAGUAAUUAGAACCGGUGUAAGUGCCGCCUUGCACUUCAGAUAUGACAACGUUGCCAUUAUAAAGAGUGUCCUUUUGCAUGUACGUGAACGGAACAUCACAUGUACCAUUUAUUGCAGUCAGAUUCACUGCCACCUUAGUCAUCGGAGGCACAACAACUUUGUGUACAACAUCCAUCACAGAAGUCACUGUCUUGGUAUCUUGCCAUUCAAAUCCUGUCUGAAUUUCGCCAGAUAACUCAAUGCUCCCCUCAAAAAUUUUUGAAAGGCCGAAUUUCAUGGUAGCUUUUGUCCCUACCUUUAGUGAUACAUUAGCCUUCCAAGUACGAGUGUGGGUGUCUGUGUAAGAAAGUUUCAGGUCUAAAGAUUCGGAUUUCCGGGUAUAGUUACUAGCAGAAUUCAUCGCAAUCACAAGUUUGCUUUCGUCGUAUAUCCUGCAAUUAUCAAGAUCAUACUUGAUAUUAUAAAUUUUUCUUUCCAAAACAGGCACUUCCACUAGAAGCUGGACUUCCUUUGUAAUAGAGGAGACAUCUGCGUUAAGGCAAUUAGUCUUUCCCUCCUUACUAAGGCUCUUGCAGUAGUUAUUGUUGCCCAUAUUGCGAAGAGCUAUUGUCUGGUCGUUAACUUUGAAGGGUCGAAACAAGGUGUCCUUGUUGUUGCUGGUAGUGUCAUCAGAAUCCGCCCAAAUCCAAUUCGGACUCCGCCGCCAAAACUUAUUGGAACCAGCAGGCUUGAUGCGAAUGCUUCCAUCAUUAUUCAUGAAAACCUCCAUGGUCACACCCGCAUCACCAAUAUCACCAGAUGAAAAUUGCAAAUACGGAUGACCCUCGAUCUGACGAAGACAACUGAUACUGGCCAUUGUUUCCUUUGAAUGCCACAUGCCUUGGCAAAAACACGAGCGUUUCCCAAUCAAUGAUUGUGAACAUAUCACGGGAAUACUCAUCGAGGUGUUCGGACGUGAAGGUUGGGAGUUUCACGUAUUACCCAUAAAUAUUUUCUCGAUUGCACAUGCACAAUUUGGACUUCAUUUGCUGCAUCAUCUACAGAGAUAAGCUUGAACAAUGUGCAUGACUUCUUGGAUCGGUCUUCCUCCGGCUUCUUGGCGGUCGCGGUGAUUCUGGUUUCAUCGGAAACCAAAUAUUUGUUGUUCUGACUGCUCCUUAUGUGCACUAAGCCAUCUAUGCCACCGCGUUGAGCAAUCUCAACCUCAAAUUUUGCAUAUGGGCUCGCAACCCGAGUUUCAGAAAAUUUGAGAUACCCAUCUUUAUAAUCUCCCUUUUCAUGGUCAAAGCCCAAGUAUUUAUUAUUCUGAUGGGAUUUGAUCACGAUAAACCUUGGCGACGCAAAUGGCUUAUUCGCAAGCAACUCCCAGUCAAUGACAGUGAAGAGAUCACAGGAAUUACCAUCGAAAACUUUGUAGUUUGCCUGUUGGCACAUAAUUAAAUUAACCUUGCACAAAUAAAUUAUGAAAAGUUAGAAGAGUGAAGAGACUUGAAUAUAAAAAGUGAAAAAACUUGAAUAUGAAUAGUGAAGAGACUUGAAGAUGAAAAGUUAAGAGGCUUGAAUAUGAAAAGAUACACACAUGCAUGAAUAGUCACAACUCCUAGCAUAUAGUGAUAUAGAUGAAUAGUCACUUACAACUCCUAUAUAAAGAGUUGUAUGUGAUGAAGAAUUAUUAACUUUGUGUGCUUGAAAUAAAAGAUUAUUUGAAAGAAUUUUUUCAUACAAAAUUUAUUUCUCGUCUCCAUUAUAUUCUUUAUCAUUUUCUUUGUUUUAUUUCUCCAAAUAUUAAUCAUUCAACUACAUUGCCAACACACAGUUAUUAAACGUUGGAGAAUCUACCCACCAUAAGCAUAAAUAGCAACCUGACUGCACAUGCAUAAUUCGGAUCUUAUUUGUUGCAGUGUCCACCGGGAUAAGUUUGAACAACGUGCACGACUCCUCGGAUCGGCCUUCCACCGGCUUGUCGGCUGCUGCAGAAAUCCAAUACUGCUCUGUUGAGUUUCCAGUGAUGGAAACAUUUUUGACUCGUUUGCAGUAUUUUUUGUUGUGGCAGCUCUUUAUGUGCACCAACCCAUCUUCCCCACCGCAUUUGGCCCUUUCCACCUCAAAUUUUGUGUAUGGACUGAAAGCCAAAGUUUCCGAAAAUUUGAGAUACCCAUUACAAUCGUAACUCUCAUGCAUAUAGCUCAAAUAUUUGUUCCUCGCCUCACAUUUGAGCACCAUAAACCUUGGCGACGCAAAUGGCUUAUUCGCAAGCGACCAGUCGAUGACUGUGAAGAGAUCACAGGAAUUACCAUCGAAAACUUUGUAGUUUGCCAACACACAGUUAUUAAACGUUGGAGAAUCUACCCACCAUAAGCAUAAAUAGCAACCUGAUUGCACAUGCAUAAUUCGGAUCUUAUUUGUUGCAGUGUCCACUGGGCUAAGCUUGAACAACGUGCACGACUCCUCGGAUCGGCCUUCCUCCGGUUUGUCUGCUGCUGCAGAAAUCCAAUACUGCUCUUUUGAGUUUCCAGUGAUGGAAACAUUUUUGACUCGUUUGCAGUAUUUGUUGUUCUGGCAGCUCUUUAUGUGCACCAACCCAUCUUCCCCACUGCAUUUGGCCCUCUCCACCUCAAAUUUUGUGUAUGGACUGCAAGCCAAAGUUUCCGAAAAUCUGAGAUACCCAUGACAAUCGUAACUCUCAUGCAUAUAGCUCAAAUAUUUGUUCCUCGCCUCACAUUUAAGCACCAUAAACCUUGGCCAUGCAAUUGCCAUUUUCACUACACCUCUCUCUUUCUCUCUUUUUUAAUCUAAACUUGAGCUGAUUGAUGAGUCUCUACCAAUUAGCUUCUAUUUUGUUUCUUUCUUGCUUAUGCUUACCACAACCUUCUAGACCUCACAAUUUAUAACUAAAAUUUUGUUGCUAUAAUUUAUCACAUUCUUUCCCGCAUGUUCAAGCAAAGUACCAAAGGAGAGACCAAUAACAUCUUUUCAAAGUAAAAACUAUAAAGUAAAAGUGAAUUCUGGCAUAGCAAAGUAGUCAAGUAAAAACAAAUAAAAUAAUGUUUGUUCCUAAACUUGACAACUAGGUUGUUUUGGUUCUUAAAUUUGGAUUUGUUAAGAUUUGAUGAUGUGACUUGUGUUAUUAGAACAAGUUUAGGUUGGACAGAUUGAGAACUAUUGAAAUAAUGGUCCGAAAAAAGGGAUUGGACGAAUUAACUCGAAAACUACUUAAAAUUGAUUAAAAUAAAAAACCGAGACAAAAAGCAACAAUUGAACAAGUUGAAUUGAUUUAAUACUUUUUUAUUUUUUAAAAGUUUAUGAAUUUUUAAAUAAUUAAUUAUUGUUGGUCCAACAAUUGAAUCGAUUGAACUGACUGAAUCAAGAAUCAUUGAUUUGACCUAUUCAACCAUCAAUCUCGUUAUUAAAACAUUAAAUGUGAAUUCUAUGAAAUAACGAUGUAGAAUGCAAUCCAUAAACAUAAUAUUACAUCUAUGUUAUUGUGCUUUAAUUGAGAUAGUGUUGCUGAUUUUGGAGAGCAUAUAUCCGAGUGAUUACGUUUUGAUUGUUAUUGAUGUAAUAGCCAUUUUCAAGGAGUUAGUUUGUAUGCACUUUCACGCUAUGUUAGCAAGCUGAAAUUGAUAUAUGUUUUGUGGCUUAUCUAGGUUUUGUAAGAGAGCUUAUUGAGUACAUUCUAAUUUGUUCAUUGAUGAAUUAUUUUUUGUGAGAGAGUGCAGACUAUUAUUGUAAACAUUGUUGAAGUGUUUAUUACACAAGUUCUUUAGGUACAAAUGUGAGAUCUCUAUACUUGGGGAGUGAUAGAGUGUAAACCCCUUGUUGUAUUGAGCAUUAAAGAUAGUGAAAUCACUUGCUAAAUUAAGCUCUACAGACGUAAAGAAACCAAACUGGAUAAAUAAACAUUUGUGUUAUUUAAGUUUUUAUUUUCACAAUCAUAGUAACCGCUGCAAUAUAAUACUUCCAUUGUAAUUUUCAUUUUAAGCAAAUAGACUACUUAAGAUAGCAACAUACAAGUUAUAAUUGCUCAUAUUCUUCUCUAUUAAAUCUUCAAAAUGAUAAAUAAAUUGAAUUAAAUUGGUAAAAAUAAACUAAAAUAAUAACAAUUAAAGUAAAGUAAAUCAAGUAUUGAAAUAUUUUCUUUGAACUAAUAAAAAUGCUAUAUUUAUAACAUUAAUAAAAUGUUAAUAGGAAGGAAUUUAUGGAAUCCAACAUUUUCUUUCUUUAAUUUAUCCAUUUCUUUGGGCAUGAUUAAGAAAAGGACAAAAGGGGCAGACAACAUAAUUUAUUCACUAAAGAAAAAUGUAAUUACAAGACAUUACAUCUUUUUUAAAGUAAAAAUUACAUAUUCUCACUUGUAAACUAAGUUUAAGUGACUCCCAUGACAUAACUAAAGUAAUUCCGCAAGGAAAAUUGGUCGGUUAAAUUGAAGCAUUAAAAAUUUAAAUGUUGAAGAAUUCGUAUUCAAUUAGAUUAUUUAAAAUUAAGUACAAACUAUAAUUAGAUUUUUUUUAUAAAUAUAAUUUUUAAAUCAUUUAAAUGUAAAAUUAUUUAAAAAAAUAAUAUUGAAAAGAAAUAAAAUAAAAUAAAAAUAAUAAAAAAAUAUUCUACAUUCUUUAUCUAUUUAUAAUUUUUCACAAUUUAUAACUAAAAUUUUGUUUCUAUAAUUUAUCACAUUCUUUCCCGCAUGUUCAAGCAAAGUACCAAAGGAGAGACCAAUAAGAGAAUGCAAUCCAUAAACAUAACAUCUUUUCAAAGUAAAAACUAUAAAGUAAAAGUGAAUUCUGGCAUAGCAAAGUAGUCAAGUAAAAACAAAUUAAUAAAAUAAUUUUUGUUCCCUAAACUGGUAACUAGGUCUACUUUGUUUUUAAAUUUGGAUUUUGUCAAGAUUGGAUGAUGUGAUUUGUGUUAUUGGAACAAGUCUAUUUGAGAACUGAUUGAAAUGAUGGUCUGAAAAAAAGGGAUUGGACGAAUUAACUCGAAAACUACUUAAAAUUGAUUAAAAUAAAAAAUCGAGACAAAAAGCAACAAUUGAACAAGUUGAACUGAUUUAAUACUUUUUUUUUAUUUUUAAAAAGUUUAUGAAUUUUUAAAUAAAUAAAUAAUUAUUAUUGGUCCAGCAAUUGAAUCGAUCGAACUAUUGAAUCAGGAAUCAUUGAUUUGACCUGUUCAACCAUUGAUCCUGUCAUUAAAACACUAAAUGUGAGUUCUAUGUUAUUGUGCUUUGAUUGAGAGAGUGUUGCUGAUUUUGGAGAGCAUAUCUCCGAGUGAUUGUUCUUUGAUUGUUAUUGAUGUAAUAGUCAUUUUCAAGGAGUUAUUUUGUAUGCACUUAAACGCUAUGUUAGUAAUUAAGCUGAAAUUAAUAUAUGCUUUGCGGUUUAUCUAGGUUUUGUAAAAGAGCUUAUUAAGUACAUUCUAAUUUGUUCAUUGAUGAAUUGUUCUUGUGAGAGAGUGCAAACUAUUAUUGUAAACAUUAUUGAAGUGUUUCGUACACAAGUUCUUAGGGGAGGAUUUGGAGUUGAGUGUUAUCAUCUUUAGGUACAAAUCUGAGAUCUCUAUAUUUAGGAAGUGAUAGAGUGUGAAUCACUUGUUGUAUUGAGCAUUAAAGAUAGUGAAAUUACUCACUAAGUUAAGCUCCGCAGACGUAGAGAAACCGAACUGCAUAAAUAAACCUUUGUGUUCUUUGAGUUUUUGUUUUCACAAUCGUAGCGACAACUACAGUAUAGUAAUUUCAGUGUAAUUUUCAUUUUAAGCAAAUAGGAUAGCAACAUAUACAAGUUAUAAUUGCUGAUAUUCUUCUUGUAAAAAUCUAUCGAAUCUUCAAAAUAAUUGUUUAUAAUAUUAAUAAAUUGUUAAUAGGAAGGAAUUUAUGGAAUCCAACAUUUUCUUUCUUUAGUUUAUCCAUUUCUUUGGGCAUGAUUAGGCAAAGGACAAAAAGGGCAGAUAACAAAACUUAUUCACUAAAGAAAAAUGUAAUUCCAAGACAUUACAUCUUUUUUAAAGUAAAAAUGACAUAUUCUUACUUGUAAACUAAGUUUAAGUGAUUCACAUGACAUAACAAAAGUAAUUUCUCAAGGAAAAUUGGUUGGAUAAAUGAAAAAUUAAGUAUUAAAAAAUUAAAUGUUGAAAAAUUAGUAUUGAAUAUUAGAUUAUAAAAUCAGUUUGGUGUAUUAUUUAAAAUUAAGUACGAAAUAUAAUUAUAUUUUUUAUAAAUGUAAUUUUUAAAAUUUUAAAGUUAAAAGUAUUUAAAAAAUAAUAUUGAAAAGAAAUAAAAUAAUUUAAAAACAUUCUACAUGAUAAUAGCUCUUUAUCUAUUUAUAUUUUUUCAUGCUUUUUCAUUGAAAAAUUAAACCUGUUUUUUUAUUAUGGUUUAUCAUACAUGUAUAAAAAAUAAAAUCAAUCAAAAUAUUAAUUUUUUGUUGAUUUGAUUUUCAAAAGUUCUCAAAUAAUCCCUAAAUUAAAGUAAUUAAGUAAAAACAUAUCUAAAGUAGGGGUGUGCAAAAAAAUUUCUAAACCGAAAAAAUUGAAGUGAACUGAAUUGAGAAAAACGAACUUUUUCGAUUUAUUCGGUUUUUAUGUUCAGUUUAAUUGAUUUAUUUGGUUGGUUUUUAUUUUGACAUUUUUUUAAACCGAAUAAACCGAUUAAGGCCAUAACCCAUAAGACCAAAAGUCCAUAACCCAUUUACGUACCUAAAUUCAAAUUUAAAUUGAUCCAAAUACUCAUUAAAACUUAAUAUUCUUAAAAGCCUAAACCCAUUAAUAUUUAAAACCCAAUUUUUGUAUGAUGUUCAUUUUAAAAAUUUUUAUUUAAUAUAUAAAAAAACCCUAAAUUGAUAGGUACUGGUUAAGAAUAUAGUAGAAGACAUGGAAAUUGUAUGUUAGUCAUGUAAGAAAAUUAAUAUCUUUUAAUUCAUUAAAAUUAUUUGAUUUAAUUUUAAUAUUUUUAAUUCAAAUACUCAUUUACUCUUCCUAGAGCUCCAAUAAGUUGAAAGUCUACUUGUAAUUUUAAAAACUACAGAGCCAGAGUAUAUGGCACUUUCAAGGGUUGUUAAAGAGGUUGUUUGGCUUAUUGGAUUGUCAAAAGAUUUGGGAGUAUUUCAAAGUCACAUAAAUCUUUAUCGUGACAGUCAGUGUGCUAUUCACUUGACAAAAAUUGUGUUUGCCAUUCAAGAACUAAACACAUUGACAUAUCGCUUUGUGCGAGAAAUCUUUGAAAAAUGAAAUAUUUUACUUCAAAAGAUUGCAACAACUGAAACUCUUGCAAAUAUGAUUACCAAGGUGGUAACAAUAAUCACUAUUUAAACUUGAUUAAUAUCCUGCAUGUUUAAACACCUAUGGAUGAAUCACCUCUCAAGAGUACAUUUAGAGGCACUAUUAAAGAUGACUUCAUUAGAGAUGAGGAAGGGAAGACACUGAAAGUUUAGUGAAAUUAUAACUCGCCAAAGAUGGAGAUUUUUUGUGUUUGGUUGAUUUUACUAAGCCACCUCUUACCCUCUAUAUAAUAGGGGAGGGUAUAGGGGCAAAACCAAAAAUUACCUAAUGAUGGAAUUAAAUUGUAUAUUUUUACGAUAAUAAAAAGUUAUAAUUUCACCAUUUUAAUAGUCUAUAUAUUUAUAAUUUUUAUAGGAUUAAAUCUAAUUUUUAUCAAUUUGAGGGGUCAAAAUGUAAUUUUAUCAUUACUAAUUUAAAAUUUUAUAAAUUAUAAAGGAGCCUAAAUGAAAAAAAAAUUCAUUUUAGGAAGAACCGAGGCCAAUGGCAGAACUAAGGGGGGCUGGCAAGGGCCUUGACCCUCCUAAAAUGGAAAAUUUUCUAUUUAGGCCAUUUAUAAUUUAUAAAAUUUUAAAUUAGUAAUAAUAAAAUUACACUUUAGCCUCUCCAAAAUGAUAAAAAUUUGAUUUAAUUCUUUAAAAACAAUUUAAUUUCAACCGAAAAAAUUUUUCUAACUCCACCACAGUCGGGGCCCCAAUCAUCCCCUAGCUUCGCCAUUGAGAGGGAGUGAUAAAAUUUAAACUCGUGUCAUCAAGUAUCAAACAAAAGCUUUAAUCAUUGUUCCAAUUAAAUCUUAGCGAAAUUGACCAAACUAUUGUAAUCAAGGCAACAAAUCUUCGCCAUCGAAUAUUAACUCAAGAUUGGUCAUUAUAUAUUAUUUGACUUGCUUUAAUAUUCAUAGUUUGAAUUAAUAAGAUCUUAAGUUAAUAUAUUAUAAAAUUAUAGGUUGGUGUUUAGAAAUAUUAGAAUUUUGAAUUAAUCUUUCUGAAAAUCAUAAAAAUAUAAAUGAAAAAAAUAUAUAGAUUAAAAAUUUAUUUGCUGAAUGUUAUUGGUUUUUAUUGUGUCAACUAGUUUUGGAUUUAAUAUUUUUUAUUUUUAAAGGCAUGGCAGUAGCUGGCAUUGUUUGUAAUUGGCUUUCUAUUAAUAAAUUCUCUCCAUUCCUGAAAAGGGAAAAAAAAUUAUAAAUGUGAAUGAGACAAAAAAUGAUUGUUAAAUAGAUGAUUUAAACGAUUGUUAAAUAAAAUCAUUCAUUAAAUGAGUCUCUAGAAAGUAAAAUUGAUGAAUCUGAACUGUAUUAACAAAUAUAAUUUGUUGAUUUCUUUCCUUGCCUUACUCUCUUUUAUAAUUUGUUUGUUAAACUAUCUUGUUUCAACUUUUGUUUAAACAUCAGUUGGGACAUCGAAUUGAGAUAAGGAAAAAAUCAAAACUUUUUCAAUUGGUACCGGAAUAAAUUUCAAGAGAUGUUUGAAAGUGAUCCUAUGUUUAAUUUGCAACCAUGGAUACGAAUGUAGUUCAGUCUACUCAAUCCCCCUUACUUCUUGGUACAAAAAAUGAUUCAUAUUGAAAGGUUCAUAUGAGGACUUUCAUCACAUUCAUUAAUGAAGCAACUUAGGAAGUUAUUGAAGAUUGAUGUACUCGACCCUUUGUGACAAUUGCUAGUGGCACCACACGUCUUAAAAAAGAAACAAAUACGCUAUCGAAGAAAAAAAAAGCUACUCACGAAAAUUCACAAGCUCUAAAUGACAUUUUCAGUGGUGUUAACUUGGAUAAACUUAAAGUCAUUUCUAUGUGUGAAUUUGCUAAGGAUGAAUGAACAAUCAUACAAAAUCAACAUAAAGGAAAUGAUGCUAUGCGAACGCCAAAAUUUCAGAUUUUAACGAGCGUGUUUUAUCAAUCAUGCGUAGCUGCACUCUUCGAAAGCUGUUGAACUUUGACAAUUAGCUGGAUUAGAUUUUUCUAAUAUACUAUUUUAAGUCUGAUUGCUAUUUAAAGCUAUUUAAAACUAAACCUUGAAGCUGCGAAGCAACUAAAUUUAAAGAAAUUGCAGGCAAGUUUUAUGAAUUUUUAGAAUAUUUAAUAUUUAUUAUUAUAAUAUAUUUAACAUUUAUUAGUAUAAAAUAUAUUUUUUUUAUAAAAUUUUAGCAGACAAUUUUAUUACUAAAUUUUUUGUUUCUUCUCUGUAAUUCUUUCUUCCUUACCGUCGAAAUUCCAACAUACUCUAACGAUAUUUUUGUUAAGGGUCUUAUGGGUCAUUACUGAUCCAGCUUGGAGCCAAAGUUCGCUGAAGUUUUUGCGGUCUGUGAAGCUCUUUCUUGGUUGAAGGCUCUUUGUAUGGAUGGUAUCAUGAUUGAGAGCGACAACCUCCAAGCGAUUUUGAAGCGAGUUGAUGACGAUGUCUCUGGUUUCAAUGUUUAUUUCGGUUCUUGCAUCUGAUCAAUUCCAUAAUUUUUUCUUUUGUUGGACGCGACAGGAAGCAAGGCAGCUCAUAUGUUUAUGAGAGUAGCCUUAUCUUAUGAAAAUAGAAGAUGUUUGGAUCAAAGUGUAGAAGGUAAGUCGGUCGGCUUAAGACUUUGUUUUUAUCCUCUCUUUUUAUCAGUUCAUGUUCUUAAUUCCGCCUAAUGAAGUUAUUUCCCCAUAAAAAAAGAAUUUUAUUAUUAUUAUACAUAUAUAAUAAAAUUGAAACACAAAUCUAAACUGAACUAGAAUCAAGCUUUGGCAUGAUACCAAAUUAUUUAUUCAUUUAUUCUCAUAAUUGAAGUACAUGACAUAGUUAAUAAUAAGAUAAACAGACAAAUAACAGACAAAUAGUGCUUCUACUAUGAAGGAAACACCAAUUUAUUUAGUUUAAUUUAUAAAGUACGCCACACACAAAUCUUCAAGUUUCCAUGGAAUUGUGGGGUUUUUCUCAAUUCAAGAGGUGAGAGGUUCUUCUUUGGUAUCAUAUUGGAUAUUGUAGUAAUUAGCACCAGUGUAAGUGUUACCAAUGACAUCAGUUGUGACAACGUUCCCAUUAUAAAGAGUAUCUUUUUGAGUGAAUACGAAGGGAACAUCACACACGCCAUGGGACAUCAAUAGAUACACCGUCACCUUAGUCAUCGGUGGCACUUGAACUUGGUGGUUAACUUCCAUCAUGGUGACUGUCGUCUUGGUCUCUCCCCACUCGAUUCCUGUUUCGUAUUUGGAAGAUAUUUCGACUCCCGCUUUACCGAUUAAUGGAACCCCUACUUGGAAGGUGGCUUUGGUUUCAAGGCCUAACGUAAAAUAAGCUAGCCAAGUACUGGAACUGGUCUCUGUAUAAGAAAGUUUCACAUCGAGUGUGCUGGCUUGAGUGGUACGGUUAAUGGCAGAAUUAUUCGCCACAACACGGACUAUUUCGUUAUAGACUCGAGCAUUUUCAAUAUCGUAUCGGAGAUUAUAAAUCUGCCUUGACAACACAGGCUCUUGAACCAUUAAGAAGGCUUCUCUUGUUAUAGAAGGGACGGCUGCAUUAAGGCAAUUCGUCUUUCCCUCGGUCGUGAGGCGCUUGCAGAAAUUAUUGUUGCCCAAGUUGAGCAGAGCUAUGGUCUUGCUGUCGACUUUGAAGGCACUAAACAAAGUGUCCUUAUUGGUUCCUUCAGUGUCAUUAGAAUCCGCCCAAAUCCAAUUCGGGCUACGCCUCCAGAACCGAUCGGAAGAAAGCGGCUUGACCCGGAUGUCUCCAUUCUUCAUAUAAAAAACUUCCAUUGGCACAGAUCCAGCACCGACAUCCGCACCCGAGAAUUCUAAAUAUGGGUGACCCUCGACCUGGGUAAGACGAAGGAACAUAUCAUUGUUUCCUUUGAAAGCAACGUACCGGGGCAGAAUCACCAACGACUCCCAAUCAAUAACUUCGAAGAUAUCAUCGCCAUUAGCCGCAAAAUGAUUCUUGUUUGCCAACACUCCACGACCGAGUUCCGAUGUAGCCAAUGGCCAUAAGUAUAAAUAGCAUCCAGAUUGAACAUGGACAAAUCGACAAUUUUCAUAUACAGGGUCUUCAAAGAUAGGCUUGAACAAUGUGCAUGACUCCUUGGAUUGGUCUUCUUCCGGCUUAUCGGCGGUUAUAGUAAUCCAAUACUCCUCAUUUGGUUUUCCGGUGAUGGAAGGAUUAUGAGUUCGCUUCAAGUACUUGUUGGUGGUAGAGCUCCUUAUGUGCACCAGCCCAUCUUUAGCAAACUCCACUUCGAAUUUUGCAUUUGCGCUCACGACCUUUGUUUCGGUGAACUCGGCGUACCCCUUGUACUCUCCGUUGUCUUGUUUGGAGCCAAGGUAUGUUUCGGCGCCGGGGGAUUUGAGCACGAUGAACCUUGGCAAUGACAUUUUGAAUAACAAAGUAACUUUCUCAAUCUUGUGCUUAUGCUUUGGUAUACAUUAAGCCUCAAUGGCUCAGCUUUUUAUAGAUAAAACUUAAUUGCUCUUACCACGUUUUUGUAAGUCCAUUCCAACUAAUUAAUUAAUAUUUUAAUUUGUGUGAUUAUGCCUCUUUGCUAAGACAUGUUUUUAAUGUGUACCAAAAACAUUAACCAUUAUUCAAUUACUAUUUUAGAACCAUAUUUUUUUUAAAAUUUUAGAAAUGCAAUAAAACUUUAUUUCAAUAUAUAUAUAAUAUAUGUUAAAUUAAUAUGAAUGCUUAAAUGCUUUGAAAUUUAUAAUAUAUGAAUUAAUAAUGUAUUAAAAACUUAUUUAAAUAUAAAAAUAUUCUAAAUUGGAUUAUAUUAUGAAAUAUAUGAUGGAUUACACAAAUUAACAAGUUUUGAGAGGUAUAAUUUUUACUCAACUUCUUGUUGUUAUUAUAAACAUCGAUAAUGGCAGUAGAACAAUUGCAAAGUAAUAAGAAAAGAAAAAUAAGAACACCCUGAUUUUACAUAGAAAUUUUUUUGGGGAAAAAUCACGGCUAAAGAAGAAGAAAUUCACUAAUGGUGAAAAUCAAAUAAGGAGUUUCGACUACAUAUAUUUAAGGGUUGAAAAACCUUAUUCUAAUCAAAAUUAAAUAGAAGUAUAAUUGUAUACAGAUUUAACUUGUGCGGUAUGGCCCAUACCGCGAGAAUCCCUCGGUCCUUCAUUUCCACAACCCUUGGGGAUUCAGAUUACACAAUCUUUUAACACUUUUUUUUGUAGUCCAUUCAAAAAGUGAAAUUAUUAUUUAAUAUUUUAAUAGUGGUUUUUUAAAUUUUACAAGUGAAAUUAAAAAAAAUUAUCAUGCCUUUUAUUUAUUUUUUAGUUUUUAAAAUAUUUUUUUAGAAUAAAUAAUAAUUUGGCAAAUAAUUAAAAUUGAAAAGGACAGGGAAAGAAAAAAAUUCAAAGUUGAAACAGUGUAUUCCACGUGGGGUUUCUCCAUCAAUCAAUGACUCGCGAUUGCUUUUACUUUGGGAUAAACUAACUUUUAAUCUUUGAAUUUCAUAUUUUUUUAAAUUUAGUCCUUAACUUUUUUGGUUUACUUUAGUUUUAGAAUUUGAUAAAUUUUUUUAAUUUUAGGUCAUGUGAUGACAUUAUAAUAUGAUAUUGUACUAUGUUAUCACUUAAAAAAUAUAUUUUUCUUUCUGUUUUAGGAAUUUUUAUUUGUUCUUGUAACACGUUUUUUUAGUCUUGUUUAUACAAGUAACCUUAGUUUUACAAGUGAUUUUAUGAAUGAUCUUGUUGUCGUCCUCUCUAAUUUGGUUAAUGCUCUAAUCUUUUUUCGAUUUUUACUCGCCGCUUUGGAUCAUCCAUCGUUGAUUUUUUUAUCGCAUUAAGUGCUUGCAAUCACUCUAUAUAUGUCGUGCUUGAUUUGUGAUAAAGCCAAUUGUCAACAGGUCGGGUCAUGAUACUGAGACUAAAGUCUUUGUUGUGUUAUUUAAGCUUGUCUUUCACUAUCUAUGAUGGGUGUUUGUUAUUUUUUUCUCUAAAUUAUAUGAUUCCCUUUAUUAAUUAAUAAACUUACCUUUAAAUAUAUAUGCUUUUCUAUAAAAAUUAGAUAAUAACAUCACUCCAUUUUAGAAUACAAAAUCACGGAUCAAAUUUGUGAAAUUCUAGUAUUAAUGUAGACAACAACAAAAAAUCAGAGAUUAGGUUGAGAUAUUAUUUAAUUUGCUGGCAGGUAAUUUGUAGGAGGCAGAAAGAAAAAUCAAAAUAGAAACAGUGAGUAUUCCGCGAGAGUGAUCAGUGACGAUUUGGAUUAGAUCUCAAUUAAAACGCCUAUAUUACAUUUCACGUGUUGUGUAAAAAUAAUACUUUAAUCAUGUUUUUCGAAUUAGAUCGAUAGUUAAAUAAAUUAAAUUAUCGGUUCAUUUGAUAUGUUCGGAUUUUCGAUUCAUUAUCAAUUUUUAGAAAAGAAACGCCAAAUGGAAACAGUGAGUAUCGAGUGAUCAAUGAUGCGUUUUUCCAACUGCUUUUGCUUUUCCUGAGUGAUCAUCUUGCUGCUUUCACCUACUUUUCUACCAUAUUUCUCUUCUGCUUUACCCAAACUCUGUUGAAUCUCACCUUCUUUCAUGCAUUCUUCUGUUUUUGAUACCGACACUGCCUCGAGAUUAUUACGUAGAAAUUUUUUUUGGGAAAAACCACCGCUAGAGAAAUUGAAUAAUACAAAAAAAGUUUCGACUACAUGUAAGGGUUAAAAAAAUCUUAUUCUAAUUAAAAUCUAUUAGAAGAAAUAUAAUUUUACAUGGAUUUAAUUUAUAUGGUAUGGUUCAAAUUGCUGGGACUCAACCCUCGAUCCUUCACCUUCUCAAUUGUUGGGGAUUCAAAUCACACAAUCUUUAAUAUUUUUCUUUUUUAACAUUAAUAUUAGUAGUUUUUUUUUCUACUCUAAAUUAUUCAAGUAAUUAAUGAAAAAAAUGUAAUGCUUUUAAAAAUGGAUUGAUGAUUCAACUAGUUAAAUGGUAAGUUUAAUCAAUUCAACUUAUAUUUUUUUAAUUUAAAUUUAAUUAAAAUAUUAUAGAAUUAUAAAAUUCGAUUUAACUAAUUUUUAAAAUUAAUUUAAUCGGUCGACGUACGUCAUAAAUUAACUGGUUUUUUUUGUUUUUUUGGAUCAAUUUUUUAUUUUACCGAUUUAGUUUUGAAAAUACUUUGGUAAACAUUUUAGACAGAUGGAAUGGCAUCUGUUCUAAGGAGAAAGAAUUAAUGUACGAAACAAGGAUAUUAUCCAUUUCUAAUAGUUUUAUGCCACAUCAGUAUUCUUAUCUUAAAUUUGAGAAUUUUAAUUUGGAUUUUAUUUUUUUAGGAUGAAAAUGCUGAAAUUCAAGAUGAAAAUGCUAAUGUGACAUGAGACUAUUAAAAAAAGAAUACAAAUGACAUGGCGUUACUGUUUUAUACCAUCUUUUUCUAUUUUCUAAGUUGAGUGUUUUGAUUGAUGAGUGUUACGUACAAAUGAUGUUUGUAUUUGCGUUUGUACAAGUGUUACUUUUUUCUUUUUCUUUUUUUUUUUUGUUCAGUGUACAAGUGUUACUUGAACUAAGAAAUGUUUGCAUGAAUGAAAUUUGAAAAGUUUUGUUUUUUAUGGCCAGAAAAAAGACAAACAUGUUUUAUAGUUUAUCUUAAAAAACCAUCAAACAAUUGAAGAAAAGCAUACCACACGCCCAGCAUCAUCAGUAAAUAAAUAUAAAAAAAUAUUGGUAAAAAGAUGCAUAUUGAGUAAAUUAAUUAUUAAUUAUUAAAUAUUAAAUAUUAAAAUAAUAUAGUAUAAAUAUUUUUAAAAAAUUUUAAAAAUUAAUAGGACGAGUCUAAAAUGGACUUGGAUUAGUCUUUAGCAAAUAUAGAUGGGUUCGAGUAAAAUUUUAAGUUUAUAUUUCGAGUUGAACUAAACUUGAACAAAUAUGAAGUAUAAUAAUAUCAUACUUACACUCAACUUAAUCUAACCCAUGAACGCAUUUAACCGUGUGCUAUAUUUUUCUUGAAUUGUUUGAUGGUUUUUGUAAAAUAAAUUAUAAAAUAUGUUUGUUCUUUUUCUAUAUAUCUUCAGUUUUCAGUCGCGCAAACAUUUCAUAAUACAAGUAACACUUGUACAAACACAAACACAAUCAACACUUCCUAGUCUCACACAUACACGUAACACUCAUCAAUCAACCACCCAACUUAGAGCAGAUGGCAUUCCAUCAGUAUAAAAUGUUCAUCAAAGAGGAUACUUUUCGAUAUUUUCAAAAUUAAAUCAAUAAAAUUGAGAAUUAAUAAAAGUAUUAAUUUGACAAGAUAAAAAAUUUAUUUUAACCUAUAAUGUGGGAAUCAAUACAAAUUAAUAAAUCGUUUUUAAAAUUAAUUAAAUUAUGUUUUAUAGUUUUAUAAUAUUUUUAAUUAAAUUUGAAUUAAAUAAAUAAAUCGAAUUGAUUGAGUCUAUAAUUUGAUUAGUUCAAUUAUUGAUCUGUUUCGAAAAACAAUACAUUUUUGUCUUUAAUGACUUGAAUAAUUUAGAGUAAAUAACAAGGAAAUGGAAUAGAACAAAAUUGAAUAAAAAUUAUACCUCUCAAAACUUGUUCCAUCAUAUAUUUCAUAAUAUAAUAAUAUAUAAUCCGAUUUACAAUAUUUUUUAUAUUUAAAUAAGUUUUAAUACUUUAUCAAUUCGUAUAUUAUAGAAUUUCAAAGCAUUUAAGCAUUCAUAUUUAUUUAACAUAUAUUAUAUUUUUUUAAAUAAAGUUUGAUUGCAUUUCUUAAUUAAAUAAAAAUUUUAAAAUAAUAAUUGAAUCAUCGUUAAAGAUUGGAUGUAUUAGGAUUAAGUAGACCCCCAUAGAGGUCAACACAUAUCCUAUUAUAGGGUCGACACGUGUUUCCUGAACAGGAGUUCUCCUGCAUGGUGAUGUUAAGCCAUGCAGGCAAACUAUAUAUCAAUGAGCUAUACUUUGCUAGCCGGGUUGUGGGUUGGUAUGCGAACCGGCUCGAUUUGAUAAUUAAGUAGAGGUGAAUACCAUAACAAUUUGUCUCCUACUUGGUCGAAGAAGAAUUACAAAAUGACCCUUUUGAGGUCUGGUAUGUGCGUGACAUGGGGACUUUGAAUGAAGCUUGUUAGGUACACCUCUUGUAUAAAACUUGUCGAUUACGCUUUGCCGCUCAAUAGCUCGCUGAUAUAUAGUUCAUCUGCAUGGGUUUGUACCACCAUACAAGUGAAUUUAUAUUAAAAAAAUACGUGUUGAUCUUAUAAUAGGAUACGUAUUAACCUGUAUGGGGUCUACUUAAUAUUAAUAUGUCAAAUUAUGAAACUAUGACAUAUAAAUAAUAAAUUGGCUUUAAGAAUAGGACACACAGAAACACUAGUAUAAACGUUAGAAUCGUUCAAUAUCCCAUUGAAUAUUCAUGGUUCACCUACAUUUCAAUCAUUUGGGAGAUACCAAAUAAUGUACCAUUUACUUUUUUAUAAUUUGGAUCACACAAUAAUGAAAUUUAUUGAAAUAUUAAAUGAUAGAAGAAAAUCAUAUCCAUUAUAUUAGUCAAUGGAUGAUUGCAAGGGAGUCUCUCGUUGUGAAUUUGACAUGGCAAUUACAAUGACAGAUAGGCAUACACCGUGGAAAAAAAGUUUAGGUUAAAAUAUGUCAUAAGUUAUUAUACUUGUCAUGUAUUUGGAAUUUAGUCCAUAUUAGUUAAUGGAUGGUUGUAAGGGAAUAUUUCAAAUUUCAAAUUUCGAAAUUCAAGUCCAAUUGUUAAUAAUUUUGUUUCGCUAAUUUUCUUUGUGUGACAUUUCAAAAUAUCAAAAAUACUCAUUUAGAAGCAAUGUAUUUAAUUAAAAUAAUCUAAACAGAGUUAACUGUAGCGACGUAAAAAUUUUAGUUUCGCUUGGUCGCUAAUUGUGGCGAUUUAUUAAAAAAGUUUAAAAUUUGACAUUUGAUUUUUUUUGAAAUAAACAGGGAGUCGCCACCGAUCCUCUUUCCUAGGUGUGAUCGUACACCUAUUAGAUCUCUUAUCAAAACAAAUAAAAGGCUAAGUUUAGGUCUACGUUAAAAUCCAGAGAAAACUUAGGGUUCGGGAGUCGGUUACGAGCGAGGAAGGUAUUAGCACCCUCGCGACGCCCAAAAUUGGUAUCUUAUAAACAAGUGUUGUCUUAAUUUUCAAAAUUGCGAGUUCAAAGUAACAUUGAAUCGUGACCGAGUAAAACACGAGAAAUUUCAAGCUUCGUUUUCUUUUGAGAAGGAUAUACCGUUUUAACACGAGUCGAUUGAUAUCCACCCAACAUAGCGAUGAAAUCGAUGACAUAGUGUUUAAAUCGGUACGUUGCCUUGCUUAUUGAAAUAAAAACACGAAUAUGUUCGAAACAAUGUAAAGCAAAUUAAUAAAUAAAAAUAAAUAAAAGACAAAUCUAGAGGUACAUUGAAGCAAUAUAAAUGUGACGAUAAUAUUAUAAACAAUAAAGACAUAUAUGAUACUAGAAUUAAAUAUGAAAUGGAAAUAAUGAAUGUAGACACAUGAUAUUAAGAGUAUGUAUGUAAACUAUACAUAAUGUUUGAUAGUAAAAAUAUAACUAAUAAUGUUAAAAUAUAUACUUAAUAUAUACCUAUAUACAUAUGAAAAAUGUGUGCACAUGCCGUAUAUGAAAAAUAUAUACAUAGUAAUAUAAAAUAAUAAGUGAUAAUAGUGAAAAUAAUGGGUAUAAUAAUUAUAAUGAUAUACGAAAAUAAUACUAUAUAUAAAAUAUGUAUACAAGUAUAAUAAAAUAUAUGUCUUGAUGUUAAUAACAAACAUAGUAGGAAUAAAAUAAAUGUAAUAAUGAUAUAUACACAAUAUGGUAUUAAGAAUAUAUAUAUAUACAAUAUAGUAUUUAAAAAAAUAUAUACAUAAGAUGGUGUAAAAAUAUGUACAUGGAAAUGUAUAAGAAAUAUAUAUAUAAUUAGUAAUAUUAAAAAUAUAUAUAACAUAUAUAAAACAUAUACAAUACAUACAUACCUUAGAAAUGAUAAUAAUAACAAGAAAACUAUUUUGUACACUAUACACAUACUUAUACACAUAUAUAUAUAUAUAAAUAAUAGUAUUAGCAAUAUACAAUAUAAUAUUAGAAAUAUACGUAUAAUAGUAUAAGAACUAUAUAUAACUAGUAAUAUUAAAAUACAUAUAAUAAUAUAUAUAAAAUAUAAUAUUAAAAAUUUAUUUACAUAACAUAUAUGAAAAACAUAUAUAAUAUAAUAUUAAAACAUUUACAUGAUAUACACAUAUGGUUUCAAGGUUAAAUACAUAUUAAAAAAAAUAAUAAUAUUACAUAAAUAUAUACUUAUAUAUAUUAAAGCUAUGUACAUAUAUAGUAAAAUGCAUGGACAAUACAACAUUCAACAUAUACAUAAUAUAUAAUAAAAUGAUAAUAUACAUACUAUAUAAAUUACAUAUAUAACAAAACAUGUACUACGAUGAUAAUAAUAAUAAUAAGGAUAAUAAUAAUAUUGAUAUAUAAAGACAAAUAUAGCAUUAAAACAUUAAAAUAAAAUAAUUAAAAGACUAAAUACAAAUGCAUACAUACACAUGCAUAUAUAAAUAAUUAUACAUUAAGACAUGCAAUAAACACAUUUAAUUAUAUAAAUAUUAAAAUCAAUAAAUAACAUAAAAUGAAAGCGGGUAAAUUGAAAAUAAAACAAUAAAUUGACAAAGAGGACUGAAUUGAACAUAAAACACCAUUUUGGGGCAAAAUUUAAAAAUAAGUAAACAGGGAAGGACUUAUUAGAACACGCGAGGAACGUGAAAGGACCAAAAAAGCAAUAUUACCUUAUCCUCAAAACGCAACGUGGCAGUAAGGACUAAAUUGAAAAAACGUGUAAGAUUCCAGGGCCGAAUUAAAAUAACAAAAAACUCAAUUGCAAGAUGUUUUAAAAGCGGAGGGGUUAAACGCGCAAAUAACCCCUCUCUGAAAAAACACGCGGAUCCUGUUGGAGCGGGUCGGGUCGACCCGACCCGUGUUCAAAACGACGUUGUUUUAUUAUUAAACAGGGGGGACCAAAACGGUGCGUUUUGGUCCCUUAUAAAAGUUAAAAAAUUUUAAAAAAAUUCAUUUGAGACUUGGGGCGGAAAAAAAAAAGAGAGAAAAAAGGGAGAGGGAGGGCCCGGAGCGAUUUCCGGACAGAGGGGAGGGUGUCGGUCCGAUCGCCGGACCGUCGCCGGCGCCGGCCAACGCACGCGGUGGCCGGAAAGGUAAAUUUUUUUUUGUUUAUUAUAUGUUAUUUAUUUAUUUUAUUAGUUUAUUAGAUUUUUAUGUGUAUAGGAGAUAAAAUUAAUUUUAAAAUGAAAUAAAAAUGAAAAAGAAAUAACCUUUAGUUUUUAACUUCUGAUUCUUCGAUCUUUGCUAUUUUCUUGCUUAAUCUGAUGCUAUUCUUGUAUAUGGAUAUAGGCAGAAUCCAGGGUUCAAUAUUUCUUUUUCUGUUUCUUUUUCUAAAGGGGACCCCUUUACAGUUUUUUUAUUUGGGUUUUUAUAACCCUUUUUCGCCUAUUUUUUAUUGCUUCUGUCUUGUCUGAUUGCAGGGAAUGGGCAUGGACGGUGGAGUGUGUGAUGGCUCAGCAUGCGCGGGGUGGCCGACAAGGUGGAGCAGUGUCAGACGCUUGGGGGCGUGGUGGCCAAGGGCAGAGGGGCGUACGGCGCUAGUAGGGGGCAAGUGGGGGGUUUGGUUGAUUAGGGUUUCUGUUUGGGUUUGGGGUUGUAAGUGGGCUAGGUUUAGGUUAGUGGGUCCGAUGGGUUUGGAAUUUAAAAAUGGGCAAAUGGGUAAUUGGAUUUAGCUGAAUGUGAUUGGGCUUUGUGGAUUAGUUUAGGUUUGUAAUCGGCCCAAAAUUGGCCUGUAACAUUAACAAUUGAAGUUGAAUUUUGAAAUUUAAAAAAUAUAGAUUAAAUUCCUAGAAAUAAAAAUACAAAGACUAAAUUUCAAAUUUGAAAAGAGUAUAGAAACCUAUGAUAUAAUUUAACCAAAAGAUUACAAUGCGGAGAAAGAGGUCGAUUCUAGACGUAAUAUAGACAAAUAUGAUGUAAUACCCUACACCUAGCCUAAACAUGAUGUAACACCCUACACCUGGCCUAAACGUUAUGGCCGAAUCUUGAGGAAUUACAAUAACUUAUUAAAAAGUUGAAAUCAUAUUCUUGUAGUAAAACAAUGUUAUCUUUGAUAAAUUGUUUUUUUUUCCAGUUUUAGGGAAAAUUUUUGUUAAAACCAUUUAUUUUCAGAUUAAAUGAACACUUCAUUUUGCAGCGGAGUUUUCUAAGUUAUAAAGUUUUUAAAAUCGUGGUUUGAUUUGUAAACAAAUAGUUUUGCAUAUAGAAAUAUUGUUGGGGAUUUAGGCACACUUUAUCUAGACGAAGUAUGAACUUCAGCCUGAACUUAAACAACAAUGUAAUAUAUUUGGAUGAAGAAUGAAGAAAUAAGAGCUGAGUCUUGAGCAAUAAGGCUCGUAGCUUGUGGAAGAAACAAACAGAUUUUGCAAAGGAAAACAAGAACAGAAAUGAAAGCAAAAAAUGGAGCAUAAAUUGAAUGAAAUUCAAUAUUUUUCAUUAAGAAGAAACAUUGGCAUAUAGCCAUUAUAUAUAUCAGUCAUUGAUUGAUCAAAACAAGACAAACAUCACCUAAUGCUUACCUAAUACCACUAGUUACAUGGAACACAUAAACAAAGCUGAUUUGUCAGCUCAAUCACCACCUAAUUACAUCAAUCAUGAAUCUAACAUAGUUCUAAAUGAACUAGAAUUCAUUACACCAACUAAGGUAACAAAACAAAACAAAAUGGAACUAGAUGGUAGUAACUGCACUCGAUCUUACUGCUCCUCGAUGGCUUGGUGUGCAUAGCCAUCCUCUUGAUGCUGCAUGCUGACCAAUCUUCAACACUCCUCCUUGGUUAGCAUGUUGCAUACUCCCAUUUGCUUUCUUAGUUUGAUAAACCUUGACACUCUAAGGGCUUUUGUGAAGAUAUCAGCAACCUGUUCCUCUGAAUUGCAAUAAAUCAACUCCACCUCUCGAGCUUGUUCUAUCUCCCUUACCACAUGUAGCUUGAUGCUAAAAUGUUUGGUUCUACCAUGGAAGACAUGAUUCUUUGCAAUUGCAACAGCAAGCAUGUUAUCACAAUAGAUCUCUGUUGCUUCCCUUUGAUGUAGGUUUAGAUCAGCAAGGAUUUUCCUUAGCCAAAUGGCUUGGUUGACUGCUCCAGCAACAGUCACAUAUUUAGCUUCUGCUGUUGAUUGAGGCACCACAUUUUGCUUCUUCGAACUCCAGCAAAACAUUGCUGAACCAAGUGUAAAUGCAUAACCUGAAGUGCUUUUCAUGUCAUCCUUUGUACCAGCCCAGUCACUGUCAGUGUAGCCUAACAGCUUCAGAUCUUCACUUCUGCUAAAUUGUAAUCCAUAGCUCAAGGUGCCUUUGAUAUACCUGAGCACUCUUUUUACUGCUCGAAAAUGCUCUUCAUUACAACAGUGCAUGAACCUUGAGAGCAAACUUACAGCAAACAUGAUAUCUGGUCUGGUUGCUGUCAAAUACAAUAAGCAGCCAACUAAACUCCUAUAGGCAGGCUCACUGACCUGUUCAUGAUCUCCUUGACUCGAUAGAUUCAUUCCAACAGCCAUAGGUGUGCUUGUUGGCUUGCAAUUCUCCAUAGAGAAUUUGCUUAGAAUUUUUGCAGCAAAUGUCUUCUGUCCCAAUAAGAUUCCACUGUAAGUUUGUUACACCUCCAUUCCAAGAAAGUAAGUCAUUUGCCCUAAAUCUGACAUUUCAAACAUGUCUUUCAUUUUGGCCUUGAAAUCAGCCAGUAUGUUCUGGUCUUCUCCUGUCACUAAGAGGUCAUCAACAUAAAGGGACACAAUGAGCUGUGUUUCAACUUGUUCUUUUUUGACAUAGAGUGUUGGCUCACUCAUGCUUCUUUGAAAUCCCAAGCUGAGCAGGUAGCCAUCGAUUCUGCUAUACCAGGCCUUUGGUGCCUGUUUUAAGCCAUACAAGGUUUUCUUGAGCCUGUAGACCAUGUCUUCCUUAUCUAUCACUAUGAAGCCUUGAGGUUACUCAACAUAGAUCUCUUCUUCAAGAAAGCCAUUAAAAAAAGUAGACUUCACAUCAAGCUGGUGGAUUUUCCACUCCAUCUGAGCUGCUAAGGCAACUAAUAGCCUAAAUAUGGUGUCUAACCUGGCUACUGGUGCAAAGGUUUCCAAAUAGUCCAGGCCAUACUUUUGGCUAAAACCCUUUACAACUAGCCUGGCCUUCAACUUGUUCAAGCUGCCAUCUGUAUUGUGUUUGGCUCGAUAGACCCAUUUCACUCCAAUGACCUUCCUGUUGGUUGGUCUUUCAACUAAUUCCCACGUUUGGUUCUUUUCAAUCAUGAUCAUCUCAUCAACCAUUGCUUGUUUCCAACCUUAAUGUGCUUCAGCAUCUUCAAAGCAGCUUGGUUCUUCUUGUGCAACAUGAGCCCUCUCAUAAAUCUCAGCCAAGGUCCUUGUAACCCUGACUGGUUCAUCAUCAAUAUCCAUAUCAGGAACAUUUUGAUCAGAUUCAAGCUGAUCUGCCAUGAGUUCUUCAGAAAUAUCCUCAGGUUCAUUUGUUUCCCAGUUCCAACAUACCUUUUCAUCAAAGAUCACAUCUCUACUUACAUGGACUUUGUUUGUUGAAGGAUCUAGGAUCCUAUAGCCUUUCUUGACCAUGCUGUAUCCCACUAAAAUGCCAGCUUGAGAAUUUUUGGACAGUUUGUCCCUUUUUACACCUGGUAUAAGGGUGUAGCAUAGGCAACCAAACACUUUUAGAUGAGCCAAAGAUGGCUUGAACCCGAACCAGGCCUCAAAUGGAGUUUUGUAAAUCAAGGCUUUAGUUGGAAGCCUGUUUUGAAGGUACACAGCAGUGUUGACUACUUCAGCCCACAUAGUCUUGGGCAAAUUCUUUUGAAAUAGGAGACAUCUAGCCAUAUCCAUCAGACUUCUAUUUUUCCUUUCACUCAUCCCAUUCUGCUGAGGUGUAUAAACAUUGGUGAACUAAUGUUUGACACUAGCAUCAUUGCAAAGAGCUUGGAACUGAGCUGAGGUACACUCUGCUCCAUUAUCUGACCUGAUGGUCUUCAAUUUGCAGCCUGUUUCUGUUUCAGCUGUAGCUUUAAACUUCAAGAAUACUUGAGCUACCUCAGACUUGUGCUUCAAAAAGAAAAUCCAACAAUAUAUGGUACUAUCAUUAAUGAAAAGAAUGAAAUACCUAUUGCCAUUGAGUGAUUCAAUUUUCAUGGGGCCACAUACAUCAGUGUGCACUAGUUCCAACUUGUUUGAUGCUCUCCAAGUUGUGUUUGCAAGAAAUGGGAGUCUGGCUUGCUUUCCCAUCUGACAGACUUCACAAACAUCUUCAUUUUGAACUGACUUGGUAAAGUUUUCAACCAUCUCCUUACUGACUGUAAUAGCCUAAAUUUGACCGGGCUUUAAAACCAAAAAAAUAAAUAAAAAUUUAUUUAAUAGUCCAUUAAAAGUCCAGGUUACAAAGCCCAAACAGUGAGGCCCAAUGUCUAAACAUAACAGACCGAUCCAAACCCCACAUCGGGCCCAAAUUCUAAAACACGUCACAACCAAUACCCGUGUAACCCAAAUACACCCGAAGCCCAACACAUACACCAACCCAAAUUCAAUCGUGGCCCAAAUCUUAGCAGGCCCAAUAAGCCCCAAACACAUGGACUCCAAAUCAGAAGCUAGGGUUUCCAGCAAACCCUAGCGCCGCAAGCACCCAUCGUCAAGCCCUUGCGUCGCAACCCAACAUCCAGUCAAUGCCCGAUCGGUGCCGUAAUCCUCGGAAGUACCUGUAAAAAAGGAAAGAAGAACGACAGAGCAUGGCAGAAAUAGCAAGAAAUUGAAAGAAAAUACUUACCUAAUCUGUAACUCUAAAAACAAUGGCUAUAAAAAACUCCUUUGAAACCUUUGUAACGAUACGCAUACAGGAACUGAAAAAAAGAGCAAAUACAAACAGUUUUUUUCGAAAAGGUGAAUCUUCUAUUUUAUUUUUUAUUUUUCAUGUUCAAAGCAUAUACAUACACAAACAGUUUGAUAAAUAGCUCUAAAACGCGAAAAAGGGUUUUACCUUUCAUUUUUGUGACAAAAAUCGAGGUCUCUAACCUCCAAGGGUCACACACGACGGCGUUUAGGACGACGGGUGGGCGCGUAAGGCGCGUGAACCACCUGAUGAUGGAGGUUUGGCCAGAGUUCCGAGGGCCCCUUUUCAUUCCUCUUUCAGAGGAUUUUUUUUAAUUUUUUUUUAAACACGAAUAGAAAUGAAAUUUUAAAGUUUUUUUUUGUAUUUAUAAGCUUCCCGAACGACAUCGUUUUGGGGUGAUCGUUUAGUGACCAAAACGACGUCGUUUCAAGGCCUCAAGAUCCGCGUGUUGACCCGAACCGGGGGAAGAUCCGCGCGUUUCUGAUAUUCGGGGAAAUAUCCCAAUUGGUCCUUCCGUUUCUUUCACUUUUGUAAUUAAAUCCAAUUUAUUUUUUUAAUUUGGCCCAGAAAUUUGUCUUUCAAUCCAAUCUAAUCUUUGGGGCCACUUUAGAAUGAAUAUGGAACGACGUCGUUCCUUGGGAAUAGGGCAUUUUGCUCGAUGAGUCCUUCACCCUUGGCGCACAUUUCAUUUAAAUCCUAGAUUCAGUUUUAUUUUUCUAAUUUCGUCCCUGUAAUUUUAUAAAAUUUUAAAUUUAAUCCUAUGUGUUUUUUUUGAUAUUAUAUAUUACUUGUCUUCUUCUAAACCUAUAUAUGUUUUAUUAUAUAAUUAUACAAUUAUUUUCACCUAUUAUUCAUUAUGUAUUAAUCCUUAUAUAUAUACAUUAGUUUUAUUAUUAUUAUAUAAUUUAGUAAAUGUUAGUUUGAAAUCAUUAUUAAGUAAUAUGUUUUUAAAUUUGUAUUAUUUAUUAUAUUAUUACUAUAUUGUAUAUAUAUUUAUCUUAAAUUCCUUUUUUACAUUAAAUUAUUUUAAUAAUAUUGUUUCAUUCAUUAUUUUUCAUAUAUAUUAUUUAGUGUAUUCUAAAUCAUUUUAUAAAUGUAAAAAUUGUUUUACUUUUCUAUAUUAUUACUUUUCAUAUAUUAUUUCAUGUAUUAGACAUUUCAUAUAUUUUCAUUAUUUUAUAUUAUUAUUUAUAUAUAUUAUUAUCCUUAACUAUUAUAUUAUAUUAAUCAAUUACUUAUAUACUAUAUAUUAUGAUUUUAAAUCCAUAUACUUUUAUAUUAUAUAUUAUAUAAUUAUUUUAUUUAAUACGUAUAUUAUUUUUUUAUAUAUUUUUAAAUAUUAUGUUUGUAUUAUUAACUUUUUUUAAAAAAAUAUGUAUUAAUCCUUUUAUUCUUUUUAAAUACCAAAGGUUGAUUUUAAAUCAUUAUUAAGUGAUGUUUAUGUUGAUAUAUACAUAUUGCCAUUAUUACCUUUUUUUAUGAUAUUUUUUGUAUGAAUAUUAAAUUGUAUAUCAUGCAUCAUUUUUACUAUCAAUAGGUUUAAAUAUAUGAUGAAUUACAGGUUUAUGUGUUUUUACUUAUUCUUCUUAAAUAUAUAUCGUGUUUUAUGUAUAUUUUACUUAUUUAAAAUUUGCCAUGUUUCUUAUAUGUAUGAUAUUUAUGUUAUUGUGUUUUUAUUUACCUAUUAUUAUAACAUUUUAUCUCGUAUGUUAUGUUAAUAUGCUCCUGCAUGCAUUGAUUUUAAAAAACGAGACUCUAAAGUUUUCAAAAAAAUAAAGGCAAUGCUUGGUGUUUGAAAAUUUCGGGAAAAGUAGUGCCCUAACUUACUGGGUUGCAAUUUUUCUCGUUGAGUUUGAAUAGUCAAGCACCCUUCUAAGUUUUUAAGGUUUUCAAAAUACGAGCAACUGUUUUGGAAUUUCAAAGCGUUGCGUCCUAACUUACUGGAUGUGGCGUUUUGUCAUUUCGAGAUAGAGAUUUUCAAAAAAGCUAGUUUAGUUUCGAAUGUCUUAAAAAUAUUGUGUCCUAACUUAAUGGAUGAGAUAUUUUGAUUCGUUUGAUACAAGUGAACCCCAAUUUUCAAAAUCAAAAUAUUCUAAAGAGGAUUGCAUCUUAAAAUUUUUAAAUUUCCGAUUUUAAAGACAUUUGAUAAUUAAUUAGGUACCAAUUUUUGGGCGUUUCGAGGGUGCUAAUCCUUCCUCGUACGUAACCGACUCUCGAACCCGUUCUUUUUACUUCGUAGACCAAAACUAAUAAUUUAUCGGUGAUCAAAUCACACCUAAAAAGAUUGGUGGCGACUCUCGUUUUCGUUUUUUAAGUCGAUUCCCAUUUUCCAAAACCCGAUUUUAAAAAUGGUUUCGACACUGACCAUUUGAGCCAUCGAUCUAAAGUUGGCAUGACCAAGUCUUUGAUGCCAAAGCUUGGAAUCUUCUGUUGAGGCAACACAGGCUAAGUGUAAGUCACCUGACCAGUUGACUUCAAAACAUUUAUCAGUCAUACUGACUGUCAUGAGGCUUGUUCCAUUUGAAUCAGCAUUUUGGCACUCCUGGCCCUUAAACACAACUGAGUAGCCCUUUUCAAGCAGUUGAGCAAUGCUGAAAAGGUUCCUGUCAAUCUCAGGUGCCAGCAGCACAUUUUUUAUGAUUUUAUCACUUGUGGAAGUGCAUAUUAGCACAUCCCCUUUUUUUUCAGCCUUAAUAAACUGACCAUUCCCAACUUUUACUUUGGUUUUGCAACUUCUGUCCAAAGUCUUAAAAAUAGUUGCAUCUAGUGACAUGUGAUUAGUGCAACCACUGUCCAACAGCCAUCCGUUUGGGCCCUUGCUCUGACCAGGUAAGCAUGAUACAGCAAAGACCUGUUCUUUAUGGUCACUGCUGUCUUCAGCCAUUCGAGCUUCAACAUCCUUAUGUUGUGCUUGGUUUUGCCAAGGUCUGCCUUUUUCUUUACAGACCCUUUCAACAUGGCCCUUUUUUCUUGCAAUGUUGACACAAGGCAUCUGGUCUGAACCAACAUUUGGCCUCUAUAUGACCAGGCCUUUUACAAAAUCUGCAAAGUUGAUCUCCUCUUCUUGCAGCAUCAGGCUUAGGCCUACUUCUCCAGUUCUUCUUGCCUUUAUAGGCUGAGGUGCUCGAGGCUGCUUUGGCCUUGGCUUGGAAAGCACCCUCCUGGUGCUCUUCUAUCCUGCUGGCUCUCCUUUGUUCCUGAGCAUAGAGGGAAUUAAUGAGCUCAGUUAGGGAGAUGCUUGAAAGAUCUCUCGAAUCCUCCAGGGAUGAGAUUUUUGCCUCAUAUCUUUCAGGCAAUGUUGAGAGCACCUUCUCCACAAUCCUUGCCUCACUAAACUGUUCUCCUAGCAACCUUAUGUUGUUCACAACAGCUAUGAUUCUAUCUGAGUAAUGCUUCAUUGUCUCUUCCUCCUUCAUCUUCAAAUUUUCAAAAUCUCUUCUUAAGUUCAACAAUUAUUCCUGCCUUGUCCCCUAUGUGCCUUGAAACUCCUCUUUAAGCUUGUCCCAGGCCUACUUUGGAGUCUCACAGGCCAUGAUUCUGGUAAAAUAAACAUCAGACACACAGUUCUGAAUACAAAACAUGACCUUAUGCCUUUUGGUCCACUCAUCUGCGUGUUGCCUGAUUUGAGCCACUGUGGGAUUGGCUCUGAGUGGAGCUGGCUCUGCAUCAGAGUUCACAACUUCCCACAGAUCGAAGGCCUGUAGGUAAGUCCUCAUCUUGACAACCCAUAUGUAGAACCCUUCACCAUUAAAGACUGGUGGUGCUGCAAGAGAAAAGCUUGAUGAAGCCAUUCAGUUUAAGAUUCAACUACAACAGGUCCUCUAAGAUGAAAGCUCUAGAUACCAAUUGUUGGGGAUUUAGGCACACUUUAUCCAGAUGAAGUAUGAACUUCAGUCUGAACUUAAACAACAAUGUAAUAUAUCCGGAUGAAGAAUGAAGAAAUAAGAGCUGAGUCUUGAGCAACAAGGCUCGUAGCUUGUGGAAGAAACAAACAGAUUUUGCAAAGGAAAACAAUAACAGAAAUGAAAGCAAAAAAUGGAGCAUAAAUUGAAUGAAAUUCAAUAUUUUUCAUUAAGAAGAAACAUUGGCAUAUAGCCAUUAUAUAUAUCAGUCAUUGAUUGAUCAAAACAAGACAAACAUCACCUAAUGCUUACCUAAUACCACUAGUUACAUGGAACACAUAAACAAAGCUGAUUUGUCAGCUCAAUCACCACCUAAUUACAUCAAUCAUGAAUCUAACAUAGUUCUAAAUGAACUAGAAUUCAUUACACCAACUAAGGUAACAAAAUGGAACUAGAUGGCAGUAGCUGCACUCGGUCUUACUGCUCCUCGAUGGCUUGGUGUGCAUAGCCAUCCUCUUGAUGCUGCAUGCUGACCAAUCUUCAACAAAUAUAAUAAUAGUUAACCCGGAAAAGCAAGUCAAAGACGAGAAGUAAAAUCGAAAACGAUUUACAGUACAAAAGUCUGAAAAGUCGAAUAUUAACAGUCUUUAAUUUUAACCAAUUUCAUAUUAUAACACAAUGAGUAGAUUUGUAAACAAAUAGAUUUUUCUAAUAAUACUGUUUUAAAUUUGAUUGCUUCACUUUUUGAUUCGCCGGAUAGUGUCAUACGGAAUAAGGUGUUAAUGACGAUGUGGAGUAUUUGGUUCUUUCGAAACAGGUUUUGUUAGAAGAAUGAGUCUAUAUCGGCUGCUGUUGUUUUAUCUUUCGACAUAUCCAAUCUGCAGGAUUGGUUGAGUGCAGAAUCGGUGUUUGAUAUAGCUCAAUGUGUUGCUGGUCACCUGCCUAAUGUUACUGGCCGUCGCCUGAGCAGUGGUGGCCGACGGUAGAUGAAGCCGCCUGAGAAUCGACUGAAACGCAACGUUGAUGCAGCAAGUUUUGGGGCGGAUCAGUCGACUAGCUUUGUAGCAGUGGUGAGGGACUCUAACGACGUUUUUGUUAAGGGUAAUACGGGUCAUUACUGAGCCAGCUUGGAGCCAAAGUUUGCUGAAGAUUUUGCGGUCUGUGAAGCUCUUUCUUGAUUGAAGGCUCGGUAUCAUGAUUGUGAGCGACAACCUCCAAGCGAUUUCAGCUCUGAAGCGGGUUGAUGACGAUGCCUCUGGUUUCAGUAUGUUUAUUUCAGCUCUUGCAUCUCAGUUUCAUAAUUUUUCUUUUUGUUGGACGAGACAGGAAGCAAGGCAGCUCAUAUAUUUAUGAGAGUAGUCUUAUCUUAUGCGACCCACUCUGAAUGGAAAAGUCAUCCUUCCAAUCAUUCCUUUAUUUUAAACCAUGAUUUUAUGUUUAAUUUAGACCAUGAAAGUAGAAGAUGUUUGGACCGAGAGUACAAGGUAAGCCAGUUGGCUUAGAACUUAGUUUUUAUCCUCUCUUUUAUCAAUUGCUGUUAUUAAUUUGGCAUCAUGAAAUUAUUUCUCCGUAAAAAAAGAUUAUUAUUUUUUAUAUUACAUAUAUAAUAACAUUGAAACACAAAUCUAAGCCCAACUAGAAUCAAUAAGCUUUGGCAUAAUAAAGCUACCAAAUUAUAUUUAUUCACUUAUUCUCAUAAUGAAAGUACAUGACAUAGUUAAUAAUGAGAUCACAGACAACUAGUGCUUCUUACAUGAAGGGAACACCAAUUUAUUUAGUUUAAUUUAAUUAAGUAUGCAACAUACACAAAUCUUCAAGCUUCCAUGGAGUUGUGGGGUUUUUCUCAAUUCAAGUGGUGAGAGGUUCUUCUUUGGUAUCAUAUUGGAUGUUGUAGUAAUUAGCACCAGUGAAAGUGUUACCAGUGACAUCAGUUGUGACAACGGUCCCAUUAUAAAGAGUGUCUUUUUGAGUGAAUACGAAGGGAACAUCACACGUGCCAUGCGUCAUCGAUAGAUACACCGUCACCUUAGUCAUCGGUGGCACAUGAGCUUGGUGGUUAACUUCCAUCACGGUGGUCGUUGUCUUUGUCUCUCCCCACUCGAUUCCUGCUUCGAGUUUGGCAGAUAUUUCGACACCCGCUUUACCGAUUAAUGGAACCCCUACUUCGAAGGUUGCUUUGGUUUCAAGGCCUAACGUAAAAUGAGCUAGCCAAGUACUGGUACUGGUCUCUGUAUAAGAAAGUUUCACAUCGAGUGUGUUGGCUUGAGUGGUACGGUUAGUGGCAGAAUUCUCGGCCAGAACAAGGACUUUCUUGUUAUAGACUCGAGCAUAUUCAAUAUCGUAUCGGAGAUUAUAAAUCUGGCUUGACAACACAGGCUCUUGAACCAUUAAGAAGGCCUCUCUGGUAAUAGAAGGGACUGCUACAUUAAGGCAAUUUGUCUUUCCCUCGAUCGUGAGGCGCUUGCAGAACUUAUUAUUGCCCAAGUUGAGCAGAGCUAUUGUCUUGUUGUCGACUUUGAAGGCACGAAACCGAGUGUCCUUAUCGGUGCCUUUAGUGUCAUUAGAAUCCACCCAAAUCCAAUUCGGGCUACGCCUCCAGAACUUAUCGGAAGAAACUGGCUUGAACCGGAUGUCUCCAUUCUUCAUAUAAAAAACCUCCAUUGGCACAGAUCCAGCACCAACAUCCGCACUCGAGAAUUCUAAAUAUGGGUGACCAUCGACCUGGGUAAGACGAAGGAACAUAUCAUUGUUUCCUUUGAAAGCAACGUACCGAGGCAGAAUCACCAAAGACUCCCAGUCAAUAACUUUGAAGAUAUCAUUGCCAUUAUCCGCAACAUUUUUGUUGUUUGCCAACACGCCACGACUGAGUUCCGAUUUAGCCAAUGGCCAGAAGCAUAAAUAGCAUCCAGAUUGAACAUGGACAAAUCGAAAAUUUUUAUAUACAGAGUCUUUCAAGAUAGGCUCGAACAAUGUGCAUGACUCCUUGGAUCGGUCUUCUUCCGACUUAUCCGCGGUUAUAGUAAUCCAAUACUCCUCAUCUGGUUUUCUGGUGAUGGAAGGAUUAUGAGUUCGCUCCAAGUAUUUGUUGUUGGUACAGCUCCUUAUGUGCACCAGCCCAUCUUUUGCAAACUCCACUUCGAAUUUUGAAUUUGCGCUUACGACCGUUGGUUCGGUGAACUCGGCGUAUCCGUUGUACUUUCCUAUGUCGUGCUUGUAGCCAAGGUAUGUUUCUGCACCGGGGGAUUUGAGCACGAUGAAUCUUGGCACUGACAUUUUUAAUAACAAAGUAACUCUCUCAAUCCUGUGCUUAUGCUUUGGUAUACAUUAAACCUCAAGGGCUAAGCUUUUUAUAGAAAAAACUUAUUGCUCUUUUUUAGUAGUUCUUUUUAAGAUUUUUUCUUACAACUUCGUGCCAAUUAACAUUACAGCCCACUUGCUCUUAUUGAUGUAACCUACGUUUCAAUAAUUUUGGUACACAUUAUAAAUGGAGUAGGAGAUGACUAUUACAGGGUUUAAACUAAUCUUUUAAGAUGUGAAUUUAACCACUACUCUCUUAUAUUUGAUAUGUAUAAACGUUGGAAUUUAUCAAUAUCGUACUGAAUAUUUCUGAUUCACCUACAUUUAAACAUUUUAAUAAUGAUUGAUUGGUUCUUAGUUCAAUUAACAUAUUGGUAUCAAUGCAAAAAGAUGUGAAUUUGAGUGCCUUAAAACACAUUAUCCUUCUAUUUAUGAGUUGGAGAUUAAAUUUCAAUUUUAAAAGAAAUACUAGAGACACAUUAAAUUUAUAUAUUUUUUUAUUAUUUUUUAAAGAAUGAAUCAUCAUACGAAAUCUAAAGGAUUCACAUGAAACUACUGAAAACCAAAACAAAGGUUGAUACGGAACAUUAAAAGGGAGCAUACGCAUAGCUCCGCCAUUCCCCUUUGUCAAUGCUUAACAAUCAUUGUUCAUUUGUUUGGAAUUCCAUUGUUAGAAUUUGAAAAAAUCUUCAAAACAGUAGAAUAAUAUUUGUUACGUAGUAGUAAAUAGAAGAGGAACGAGAUUUUUUUAAUUGGGGGAGUUUUUCUUCUAAUAAAACAUUAGACACAAUAAAUAUAUUCAUUUUUCUUAAUAAUUUGAUAUGAUAGAUCUUAAAUUGUAAAAUUCUAUCCGAUUGUAACAUAAUCUAGCUCCAAAACAUUGAGGAUGAAAUUGCUCAUCAUUUAUUAUAAUUUUAAUAUAUAAACAUAUAAUUCUUUCUCGAAGCUAAGGUUUCUUCAUUGCUAUAUAGAUUUAUAUUAUCAAUUCUUUAUUUUCUUCCCAGUUUUAUUCCUUCAUCAAAUUUCUAUGAAAUAAUUUUUUUUUUUAAAAAUAAGUUUUGUUCAUUUAAUAAUCAACACAGUUCACUACAUAGAGAGUUCAAUCUCAAAAGUUCAUUCAGAUUUGAAUAAAAAGAACCUAAAUCAACCUUCAACACCUAAAAUCUAAGCUAGAAAAACUAGCAGCAAUAACAACAAUAAAAACCUCACAACAGCAGUAGGAUCUUCAUAAGACAAGCUCACGACAGCCACAAGAACACCGUUUCACAAAAACCCCAAUCAAGCCUUUAGCAACAAAGGCAACUUUUGAUCCUAUCUUGCAUCACACCAACCCCAGAGUUAGUCAUUUAUGUAUAGUUUAGAUUAUAUUUUGAUUACCGAACAUUAAAUAGUUAGGACAUGAUCACUAAUUAGUGAACCAAGAGUGGUCACACCCUGUUUUAAAAUAAGAGUAGUAGUUUUUGUAACAAGUAAUUUAAUUUGUUUCAGUGGUUAAGUAUUCUAAAUGUGUGCUUGAGGUUGUGUUUGAUUCCCUUUAAGAAAUUUCUUUAUUAAUUUUGAUCUCAUAUCUGAUUUGGUACGUAUAGGUUUUUUUAAUUUUUGUAUAUUAUUUGUAUGAAUGAGCCUAUUGGUUCAAUAGUUAAAACUUAACAUCUCUUGUGCUCACAAGUUUGAAUCAUGAUGUGUGUCGAAGUAGAAUUAUUUUUGCUUCUGUCUUGCUGUGCGGUCCAUGCUGCAGAAUAUGGGUCAAACUCAAAUUCUUAGUAACUUGAUUAAGUUAACAUCUAAUGGGAUAAUAUAGUUUUUUUUUUUUUUAAGGAAGUUAUCUCCUAAUUUUUCUCCUAUUAUGUCGUCCACCUUCAACCAAUCGGCUGCUUUCCCUUGUCGAUCUUGCUCUCCAAUUUCGAAUUCAACGUCGAAUUUAUUUGCUAGACAUAUUGCUCGUCGGGAAAGGAUUGUAUGAAACAGUGACGUCACGUCACGUCAUUUGUAUCACUUUUCAAUAGUUUUAUGCUACAUCAUUACUCUUAUCCUGAAUUUUAGGAUUUUAUCCUGAAAAAAAUUAAAUCCAAAUUAAAAUACUAAAAUUCAGGAUAAAAUCCUGAAAUUCAGGAUAAGAUACUGAUAUGGCAUAAAACUAUUGGAAAGAGAUACAAAUGACUUGACGUCACUGUUUCAUACAAUCCUUUCUCAUUGCUCGUCAAAUUCUGUCGAUUGGCUUCUCAAAAAUUUGUUGCACCAAAUUCUUGUCGUCAUUCUUCUUUAAAAAUGCACACCGAUUGGCUUUUAAAAUUGCAACGCCAAAUCUGUUUGACUAGAGCUACCAAGCUCGAAAAUAAUUUGAUGAGUUCAAGAGAAUAGGAACUUAUGAAUUAAAUUCUGAUAAAUUGAAAUGUUAUAAGAGAAAAUAGUAUAAAUGCAUAAAGAAUCAUUAUGUUAAAAUGAAUAUGAGCUUAGACAUAUGAAAUGAAAAUAAAUUUUCAUGAGUUAGACUAUGAUUUGAAUGUAUGCAUUGCAUGAAUUUAUUUAUAUUGAUUUGAAUUGUAGAAUUACCAUUGAGAAAUUUGUUCAGCAUACGACUUGUUUUCUUGUGUGCAAGUUAAAUUCAGUUUAAUAUUCUCAAGCAUCAACUUCAACAUCCAAAUGGUUAAUAUCUUAGUUGAAAUGGUAUAAUGUUAGGUAUGCUAAUGAUCUUAUUGAUAUUGGUGUGAAUGUUUGAGUUAAAUUGAAUUGCCCUAGGGAUUUGUUCUAUUGGAAUGGAACAUUUGCAAAUUGAGAGUAGAGUGUAUACAUAUAUAAUUGUGUUUUGAAAUGAUGUUAAGGAAUGCCAUUUGGAUGUGAAUAGUUUUGGAUUGGAAGUAUUUGAUGGUUAGAACUUGAUACCAUUUCUAGUCGCAACGAGGGUUGGACUCCAAGCUACAGCACAACUAUGAACCCCGUAAUCUCGACGAGGCCGAGUUAGUAUGUCACAUUGCGACAAGGAACUAUCUCACGCGUGACGUCAACCCUAUAAUUUGAAUUCUUUACAAUUUAAUCUCGAUUUGAUCUUAGGUUAUCUUAUGAGCUUUCAUAAGCUUGUAUAAUAUUCGGAAAUUUUCAUUUAUCAUGUUUUUUACUUAUAAUGUUCUUAUUGAAUCUUAAAAUGGAUUGAAUAAAAAUGGAAACUUUACCUCGUUAUGUAAAAAUGUAAUACUCUUAGUCACGUCAUGUUAUCAUCUAAAAAGUUUUUUACAAAAAACAAAUUUUAAAUGAUUAUAUGACACAAUAUCAAAGUAGUACGACAUUACAUAAAUCUAAACUGAAAAAUUUUACCAAAUUUCAAAACUAAUGUGAAGAAAGAAAUUAAUGAUUAAAUUUAAAAAAUAAUAUUUAGUUUUAUAUCAAUUCAUAAUAAAUAAAUUACAUAAUUAUUGCACUAAUAUAGUAUGUGUGUCAUGUUAGUCAUAUUUUAAUAUUAAAUAAUAAUUUUAUUUUUUAAAUAAUAAUAAAAAAAGACCAGGCUCGUAGCAUGACUUUUCUGCAAAAGUAUUCUCCCACUUUCGAUAGUCUAUUCAUAUAAUAGCAAUAACAAUAAUAGGAUAUUAAUUCAAAAUUAGCGGAUAUGCGGUAGUCAUUUUUUAUUUAAAAAGAUCACUUUUAAGACUCCUUUUUUCCAACAAUGUUUAAAUUUAUUAUUUUAUUCUUCCUAAUUCCUAUGGUUUCCAAUUGUAUUAUAUUUAAAUAAUUUAAUAUAAUUAAACAUAAAUUAUUUUACAAUUUUAAAUAUAAUGCUACGUGAUAUUUAAAUAAUUAAUAUAUGAAUUUUAAAUAUUUUUUAAAUAGUUAAUAUAAAUAACAAUUUUGAUAUUUUUACUUCAAAAUCGACAAGUCAUAUAUUAAAAAUACUUAAAUCCUAAUAAUCCUAAUUUUGAUUAAUAUUUCAUAGUAAUUAAUUUUUCGCGAAGAAAGAUAUAAUGGUUACCAUAAGAUAAAAUAAGAUCAUAUUUGGAGAAUGGAUUAUCCUAAAGAGAUUAAAGAUAUCUAUGAGGAUAACACACUUAUUAUAAGGUCAUUGGAUGAACACUGGUUAAGUAACUUUCAUAAUGAUAUGUAAUAAAGGAGAGCUCAAACAUAAUAUUGUAGUGGAAUGACUUAAGGGGGGUUUAUGGUAAAUUGAUUGUUAUUUACUGUCAGUGUUCGGGUUUUGUUUGGUUGGAACUGCUUGCUGUUUUGUUUCUGGCAUGCAACAGUUAUAUGGAUGCUGUACUUUGAUUAAGUGAAAAAUAAUAAUAAAGUUUGGACGAUGGAUUCGUUAAUUUUUCAUUACAAGAUGAGGGCUUUAUUAUGGGCAAGGGCUGCUUUCGAUGAAUGCAGGUUUCAGGAGAGAUUAUGAUGGCUCGGCUCGUUUAAAUGCAGUUUUUUCUAAUUCUGGUUCAAGAGGAUGGAGUUAUCCUCCACAUGGAUGGUUGAAUUUUAAUGUUAGCAGAACUGCUUCUGAGGGCGCUAUGCAUGGGUGGUGGAGUGUUGAAAGAUGAGGAAGGUAUUGCUUGAGCGUUAUUUUCGGGUCCAAGCGAUGCAUAUGAUGUGGAGUCAGCUGAAUUGGGAGCCAUCAUCACUGCUUUGGAUGUUUUUAUUGACUGCGACUGGAAGGGGUCGGGUUCUUUGAUAAUUGAGAUGGGUUCGAAGGUGGUUUGUAACUGGAUUUUGGGGAAAACAAGGAGACCCUGGUCGCAUCAAGUUUCAUUAUCUUGAUAGGAGGAUUGCCUGUGUGGGCGAGUUGUCAUUUUUCAACUGCUGAAAUGAAUGGAAAUGAAAUGGCAGUGUCAUUAGCUUCUGUUGGAAUGAGUUGACUUAGCAUGUUUAAGGCUUGGUGGUUAUUUUGGUUGAGAUAAUUUGUUGCAGGUUUUUUGUUUUUGUAAUCUAUGUGUAGAAGUUACAGGGGAGUUCGGGUUUUGUGGUGUUUUUCGUGGUUUUUUUUAGGUGGGCUACAUGUCAAGGGUAUUAUUUGCUUUGCCUGUUGUUAUGGCAUUUGCAUUUUUGUAAUUGCCUAACUGAGCGAAAAAAUAAUAAUAAUACAUAUGAGGGUGACACACUCUAGUAAAAUUUACUGGGGUUGUCGCCCCACCUCUUUUAAUUCAACUAGAAGAUUAGUUUUUCCUGUUAAAUAAAUAGUAUUUAUGUGAUACUAAUUUAACCAGGAUUCUUCUCUCUUGCUAUAAAUAGAUAGUACUAGUAGAGUUAUUUACAACGGUUCACUUAAGUUUUCAAUAUUUUUAUUCUAUAAGAAAAUAGUGAGAAUUUAUUUUUUAAGUAUAAAUUUUGUUUUUUGAGUGUUAGAAUUGUGUGACCCAAAUUCUAAGAGAUUGCUUGCAAGUCAAGUUAAACAAAAAUAUAUUUUCUUUCUAGAAGAUUUAGUAUUUAUUAGUAUAAUAUAUUUAGCAUUUAUUAGUAUAGUUUAUUUGACUUACUAAUUUAGCCUAUAAAUAGGCUCCUUUACAAUCUUAGAAAAAAAGAGACACCCAUUAGAUUAGAACUCAUAACACAUUCAGAGAAUUUUGUGUUUACGUUUGAGGGUUCUUUGUUUUCGGGUUUUCGGGGUUUAGUUUUUAUCUCCAUCUUUUGUACUCUUCAUUCUUUUGCCAUUAUAGUAAAUUUAUCUUUACCCGUGGUUUUUUAUCCUCUUUUGAGGGGUUUUUCCACGUUAAAUUUGUGUGUUCAUCUUCUCAAUUUCUUCUACUAUUUUUACUUGUUCGUUGCUUAAUCGGGACGAUCCUAACACUGAGAAUAAUAAUUUUGUCAAUUUCUAUUUAGAGAGAAUUACUUUCCUACUGAAAGUAAUAAAUCAUUUUUGGUUCCGUGUUUGGUUCGUGAUUAUUUGAGCCCACACUUGAAACAAUUUAUGGUACAAGAAUAGCAAAGAAGGUUAUUCGGUUGAAAGCUGAGAAUGUUUAAAAUCUAGUUCGCAUAAAGCACAAUUACUUUUUAGGAAAGAAUUAUUACUACAAAUGUAACAAACCGACUCAAUUUUUAAAAUUUUAAUUUUUUUAUUAUGACAGAAAAUCGCUUUUUAAAUAGGAUUUUUUUUUAACAUUUGGUAUCAAAGCCAAGUUGUGCUAUGUUUAUAGUAUAAAUCGAUAUUAAAUUUUCUUUUUUUUAAUUUUGGUUAAUUUUUGAUAAUAUGUGGCAUUCUUAUAAAUAUAUGCAUGUUUUGGGUUAUAUAUGCGAAUGAAUGUAUUUUAUUAUUUUAUAUAUUUGAAAAGAAAUUUGGUCAAAGUUAUAAUUCCUAGUAUUUUGAUUGCAUGUAAUUUCAUGUUUUAAUAAAUUUUGGGACAUUUAAUUAGAUCAUGGACUAUCAUCUAAAUUUAGAUUUUAUUUUAUUUACUUUAGAAAAUUUCAUGUAAAUUUGAAAUGGACUUGAGGUUUAUGUAACCAAAUUUUUCAGUGAAUCCCAAGAACAGAGACUCAUCCAGAAUUGAUCAAGACAAUACGAACCUGACCUAGCCAACAAACAAAAGACUAGAAAAGGACCAACCAGUGGUGGUUCGAUGAUGGUGUCUAGCAACAGCUCGAUGAUGAUCGACAACGAUGGUCAACAACGGUCUAGCGAUGGAAAUGGUGACAGGUCGACGAUGACGACAUUGAUGUCAACUGUGGCAGUGGCAGAAAUUCGUGGUGGUGACAGAGAUUCGACAGUAGAUCCCUUCAGUGCUUUUCAAGUUAUUUGUGUUUUUGGGAAAACCUAAAAACCAAGAUAUUUGGCUUUCACUCAGAAGACCUAAAGUAUGUUUUAAGGUAAUAGUUGUAAUUUUUAUUAUCUAUUAUUUUAAGAUGUAAUCAUGAAAAUUUUGGUUGGUCAGAGUCAUUCUAAUUUUAUGUUUUUCUAUGAUAGCAUGAUGAUAUUUAAAUUGACUGAAAAGUAUGUUCAUGCAUAUAUAUGAUAAGCAUGUCAUAUAGUUUAGAAAAAGAAUGUCACAUGACAUUUUAAUCAUUCAUGAACAAAAUUGGAAAUAAAAAAUCUUGCAUGUUUUUAUAAGUUUAAGUGGGAGAAAUUCUCUAAACAAGACCUACAGCCUCCACCAAUGGUCUCUUGUGGUGGCAUGACAAUUUCAAGUCUUUCUUUCCUCCUAAUGCACCAACCACCUUCGAAGAUAAAGAAAACACAUAUUCAGCAUAGAAACCAACCAACAUAGCAAAUUUUUCCUAGUAUUACUCAACAAACAGAAAUAUUGUAAAAAUUACAAAAUUUGCUAUCACCCACGCAUCAUUUACAUGAAUUAUCAGUCUAAAAAGUACCAAAAAUAACUCUAUAUUCUAGAGUUAUCAAGGUCGUUGAUAAUGAGGCCAACCUAGACUAGAACACGCAAACAAAGAUGGCAUUCAAAAGCUUGUCUAAGGGUUAUGUAGGCUUUAGGGUCGCAUACAACCUUGGGAACAAGAAUCUGACACUUACACAAUUUAUGAAUGAGUUACAAUCCUAUGAAUUGAUGUUGAAUGGGGGUCAACCUCUCUGGAAAGAAUAAACAAACUUAGUGGUUGCUUCUUCUUCUAAAGAGAAGGGAAAGCAUGCUAAGAGAAAUAAGGUUAAGUCCUAUAGGCCACCAAAAGUGGAAAGAAAGAAUGCCAAUAAACCUAAAGACUUAUCUAAGUGUUUCUUUUGCAACAAGAAAGGGCACUUCAAGGUCAAUUGCAAAGAGUGGAAGGAUUACUUAGUCACUAAGGGCAAAGCUAUGGAACUCUUUAUUAUAGAAAUUUUUAUGUGUUAUCAAUUACAUUCCUCCAUGGCCAUGUAUCAUCCAUCAAGGUUAGAGAGCUUCUCCCUUCAAUUUUUGUUAAAUUUUUCACUUUCCCUAAACCGUUGCCAAUUUAAACAUCGAAGGGUUUUCAAAGUACAAACUCUAAUUCCUCUAACCCAUUUUCUCCUUUUGCGAAACAAUUGAAACAUUAACACGAUCUAUCUUCACAAAUCGACCUUAACAUUGAUAUGUCCAAUGUAUAAUGCAUAAGGAAAUCGAAUAUUAAAUAUUUCAUUCAUUUUGCAGUAUAUCUAUCAAUGACUAAUUGACGGAUAUGAUAUGAUCUUUGCAAAUAUCAAUUGUUAUGCCAUUAUGAAAAAUCUAUACCCACUAAAAAGUGUUGGGUGCGAUGGUAAAACACAUUGCACUUCCAAUGAGAGAACACAAGUUCAAACCUUGAAGAUGGAAUUGUUAAUAGAAACAACCACGAAUCUUUAACAUAGACAAAAAAAUAUAUGUGGAAAAUAAAAUAUAUAUAUAUAUCCAUAGUGAUUACAAAAUAGAAUAUGCUUACACAAUUUUACCUCGUCAUGUAAAAUCUGGUAUAAUGCUAAUGAUAAUGGAAAAAGCAAAAGAGAAAAGGCGGCCAUUAAUCUAAACUGGAAUGAAAAAGAUUCCAAAAGUAAUGUGAACAAAAUAAAUUUAAAGAUUAAAUUUAAAAAAGUUAGCUUUUAUCCUAAAGCAAAAGCAAUAACAAUGGGGAUGGAGGAACACACUUUUCCAACUUUGGAUUUUGUUCUUUCUUAUGGUUCUUAGAAAUUAGGUGGUGGAGCCCUUUUUUUUUCUUUUUUUCCACUUGGAUUAAUUAAUUUCCAACUAAUGGGGUAUUUGUUUUAAUUUCACAAGAUUAAAAAUUAUCCUUUUUACACGUAGGGGAAAGAACAAACUAAGGAGAAAAUAUCAUUACAAUAGAAAAAUAAAUGAGAGAAUUUUUUAUUUUAUUCCUUGUAUAUAUGUAUAUACAAGCCUUGUACAUGCCUCUAUUUAUACACUUUCUAACAUAAUACAAUCCCUUAAAUUACAAAGAAUAAAUAGAGAUUAUAUUACAAUAUAAAACCUUCACAAUUGCAUUGGAGGCUACUACGGUGGAGGUUAUAAUUUUGAGAGUUAUAGACAUCUAUAAUAAAAUAAUAUUUAUAAUAAUUACAUAAUUAUUGCACUAAUAUAGUAGGUGUGUGUCAUAAUUUAAGAUAUAAUAUUUACCAUGAGAUAAAAUAGGAUUAUAUUAGGAGAAUGAAUAUAUCACAAAGAGAUUAAAGAUAUCCUAUGAGGGUAACACACUUAUGACAAGUCAGUGGACGAGCACCAAUUAAUUAGCUUUCAUAAUGGUAUGUAAUAAAGGAGAGCUCAGACACAAAUAAGUUUAUAAUUAAUAGGCAAAAACCUGGAACUUAAUUAUAAAUUAUUUGAGCCCUAAUUAUAUAUGUUCAAUCAGUUUCUCUGCUAGCUCAUUGAAACUAUAGAAACGAAUUGCAUGUAGAAUCAAAUGAACAGAAAUGGAUAGAAAUGACAAAAUUAGAGAAAUGUGUCACAUUCGCAAAUGAAUGUGUUUUCUUGAUGAAUAUAGAAAUGAAUUGAGAAUUAAUUUAAUUAAAUAAUUGAAGUUCGAAAAUAAAAUUAAAUUAAUUAGUCAUUAUGAAUACGUUGAAUAUGGAAAUUAAAUAUAUUUCUUAGGGAUUUCUUGAAUUGGAUUGAGAAAAUUAUUUAAUUAAAUUAAUUAAUAAAUCAUAUUUAUUUUAGAAAAUAGAAAAACAUGUAUUGGUUUAGAUUAAAUUAUAAAGUGUUACUUUAAAAAUAUAAGAAGCACGUAUAAUUAGACUUAAUACAAGUGAUGCCCGAAUCCCCCUCAUAAUACAUAUGAGGAGCGACACAUCCUACUAAAAUUUACUAAGGUUGUCGCCCUCACCUCUUUUAGUUGAACUAAAAGACUAAUUUUUUAUUAAAUAAAUAUUAUUUAUGUAAUACUAAUUCAACCAGAAUUUUUCUAUCUCUCCAUAUAAAUAGAGAGUACUAGUAGAAUUAUUUACAACCGUUUACAUAAAUUUUUAAUAUUUUUAUCAUGUAAAAAAAUAGUUGGAAUUUAUUUUCUAAAUAUAAAUUUUAUUUUCUAAGAUUAUGAAUAGGAUAGGAUAUUACUUUAAAGUUAGCGGAUAUGCGCUAGUCAUUUUUUAUUAAAAAGUUUACUUUAAGACUUUUAUUUCAACAAUGUUUAAAUUUAUUAUUUUAUUCUUCCUAAUUCCUAUGGUUUACAGCUAGAAUUAUAAUAUCAAACAUUUAAAUAUUUUAACUAAACAUGAAUUAUUUGUAAAAUUAUUGAUAUAUGAAAUAUUUUAAAAUUUUAAAUAUAACGAUAAGCGAUAUUUAAAUAAUUUAAUAUAAUAAUAUAUAAAUUUUAAAUUAAUUUAAAUUUUAAAUAUUUUUUAAAUAAUUAAUAUAAUUAACAAUUCUGAUAAUUUGACUUCAAAAAGGACCAGUCAUAUGCUAAAAAUACUUAAAACCUAAUUAUUAUUUUUAGUAGAAAAGCACUUUUAAUUACAAUUUGGUAUUUCUUUUUAGAUGAAACGUACCUUUAGUCUUUUGGGAUUGUAAUGUAUUGAUUACCGAACAUCAAAUAGUUACAAUAUGAUCACUAAUGUUGUCGAUUUGUUACAUUUUGGUCACUGAUUUAUUAACUAUCUUUAAUGGUUUAACGGCAAGCUGAUGUAGCAUACGAUAUGAUCGCUAGCAUUAUCAAUUUAUUACAUUUUAGUCAUUCAACCAUUAAUUGUUAUAAAAAUGUAAUGGAAAAUUAAUAUGACAUUUUAUAUCAUUAUUUCAUAUGAAAAUUUUAGUAUAGAUUGCACAACUUGUAUUUGUGCAAUUUACCCUAAAAUUUAUUCAACUUACACAAACUUCUCAUCCAACCAGAAAAAGCUUAGGAACUUGAUACACAUGCUUCCCUAGGGCAAGAAAAGCACCAAGUUUUUAUCUUUAAAUAGCAAAGCCCUUGAGGUUUAGGGUAAAUCAAAGCAUAAGCACAAGAGUGAAAAAGGCCAUCGAGAGAGAUACUUCGUUUGUGCAAAUGACAUUGCCAAGGUUCAUCGUUCUCAAAGCCCCCGAUGCCGAAAACUACCUCUGCUACAGACCCCGCAAUGGCACCUACAAGGGCUACGCCGAGUUCACCGAAAGGACGGUUGUGAGCGCAAAUGCGAAAUUCGAAGUGGAGUUCGCUAAAAAUGGGCUGGUGCACAUAAGGAGCUGUACCACAAACAAAUAUUUGAAACGAAUUCAUAAACCUUCCAUCACCAGAAGUCCAAAUGAGGAGUAUUGGAUUACUAUAACCGCCGAUAAGCCGGAAGAAGACCGAUCCAAGGAGUCAUGCACAUUGUUCAAGCCUAUCUUGGAAGACUCUUUACAUGGUAAUUAUCGAUUUGUCCAUGUUCAAUCUGGACACUAUUUAUGCUUAUGGCCAUUGGCUACAUCGGAACUCCGUCGUGGCGUGUUGGCAAACCACAAUCAUGUUGCAGAUAAUCAGAAUGCUAUCUUCAAAGUUAUUGAUUGGGAGUCGUUGGUGAUUCUGCCUCGGUUCGUUGCUUUCAAAGGAAACAAUAAUAUGUUCCUUGGCCUUACUGAAGUUGGGGAUCAACCGCCUUUAAAAUUCUCGUGUGGGGAUGUUGGUGAUCACCAGGUGACAAUGGAGGUUUUUUAUAUGAAGAAUGGAGACAUCCGGUUCAAGCCGCUUUAUUUCGAUAAGUUCUGGAGGAGUAGCCAGAAUCGUAUUUUGGUGGAUUCUAAUGAAGCUAUAGGCAACGAUAACAAUAAGAACACUCAUUUUCGUGCCUUCAAAGUCGACAGCAAGACCAUAGCUCUGCUCAACGUCGGCAACGAUUUGUUCUGCAACUGCAAGAGCGUCUUAAACAGGGAAACGACCGGUAUCCUUACUGCAACCGUCCCUUCGAUUACUAAAGAAACCUACCUACGUGUUCUAGAGCCUGUGUUGUCAAGGACGAUUUAUAAUCUCCGAUACGCCACAGAAAAUGCUCGGGUCUAUAACGAAAAGGUCCUUGUUGUAGCCCAGAAUUCCGCCACUAACCGUACCACUCAAGCCAACACACUCGAUGUGAAACUUUCCUAUAGUGAGACCAGUACCAGUACUUGGCUAACUCAUUUUACACUAGGUCUUGAAACCAAAGCCACCUUCCAAGUCGGGGUCCCAUUCAUCGGUGAAACGGGUGUCGAAAUAUCUCCCAAAUACGAAACAGGAAUCGAGUGGGGAAAGACCAAGACGAUGACCACCGACAUGGAAGUUACGCACCAAGUUAUUGUGCCGCCCAUGACUAAGGUGACGGUGUAUCUUAAGAUGACCAAUGGCACGUGCGAUGUUCCUUUCGUGUUCACUCAAAAAGACACUCUUUAUAAUGGGACCUUCGUUACAACUGAUGUCCUAGGUAACACUUUCACCGGUACUAAUUAUUACAACAUCCAAUAUGAUAGCAAAGAAGAACCCCUCACCUCUGAACCCCCCACCUCUGGAAAUCAGAACAUCACCCUACUUUGUCAGAUAAUUUAAAAUGAAAAUUUAAAAGAAAAUAUUGUAAAAGUUUUCAUUUCAAAGUUUUAAUAUAAACUAUCAUUCGCACUUUUUUUUUUAAUUUUAGUUUUUUAUUUUAGAAAUUAUGCAGUAACAUUUUACUUUUCUCUAAAAUUUUCAUUUUAAAUUAUAUCAUAUAACAUUUUUACAUGACAUUUAAUGAUUAAGCUAACGGUUUUAAUAAUAGAAGGAUACCGUCAAUAGUUUGGGGAUAUAAUUAUAGAGUUUUAAAGUUUGAGGGUUAAUUUAGAAUGAAAAUAAUAAUUGGAGGAUUUCUAAUACAAUUAAUUCUAAUUCUUAAAGGAUUUUGUGUUUUUGCUAUGUUUUGAUGUUUUUUUUUAAUUUGUAAUUUUGGUCCUAUGUAAUUAGCAUUUAUCAUGGGUCAAGUUAGGCUAGUGUAAAAAAAUCAAUCCCCUUUUUUAGGCUUAGAUCCAACCCGACUCGAAAAUAAGUUUAAAAUUUUGUCUAAGCCUAGCUUGAAUACAAAAUGUUAAACUUAAGCUCGGCCCACAUUAAUUUUUUUAGAUUAUUUUUAUAUAAAAAUAAAUUUUAAAAAUAUAAUAAAUCAAAUAGACUAAAAGAAGUAAAAUAAAUAUUUUCCAACAAAUUAAAAAUACAGAUAAAAAAAUAUAGUUGCAACUUAACAAGCAAAUACUUCUAGAAUAAUUGCAAAAUUAAUAAUAAAAUAAGAAUUAUACAAUAUCCAAACAAUAAUAAAAAAAUAGCAAUAAACAAAAAAUGACAUAAUAGCAGUAAACAAUAAUAAACAUCAGGAGAAUUAUUUUUGUCAAAUUUGGGCCAAGUCCGGACCAAAAAAGUAUUGCCUAAGGUUCAACCCGUUUUCUAAAUGAGCCUUACUUUUUUGUCCAAACCUAUUUUUUGAACUUAUAUUUUUGUCUAAAUCCUCUUACUUUUCGGACAGACUUUCGAGCUUGAACGGGUAACCCGACCCAUGAUCAAGUCCAUACGUAAUAGGUAUAAAAUUCUUUCCCCACUUAAUUAAUAUUUUAUUACUAAUCUUUUUUUGACUUAAAUUAAAACAGUCUUAUUUACUUGCUAGAAGAACCUUGACCCUUUAAAUGGUAUAAUAUUCUUUUAAGCCUUAACCCUUAACCCUUUAUUUAAUGAAAGAGUUACAUUUUUGGUCCAUCCCAAAUAUUACUAAGUUGUUUUAACACAAUUUUUAGAUUUAACCCCAAUCUUUUUUAAUUAUAAGAUUAAAAUAAAAAAAAUUUUACAACCGAAAGGGAGUUAAUUGAAAUUUUUCAAAAUUUAAGUACAGGGCCCUGCUACCCCUAAUUCACCUCUUGUUGGAGAGAAACGUGCAUUAGGCUAUCAAAUAUAAUGUCAGUACCAGCAGCUUAAAGAAACAAGUGAUUAAGAGGUAAAAUAAUCAAGCAUUUUAAUUCAAACAAUCAAACUCUAGGUCAAAUGUUAGUAUAAAAACUUAUUUUAUUUAAACUUAAUUAGAAGGUAGAUAAAUAGUAAUAUAAAAUUUAUUAUUUAUUAUUUUUAAAUGAUAAUACAAAGUGUUGAGGCAGUUUUGAGAGCAGUUACCACCAUCGUUACAACUAUGCUUGUAAUUGCUCAAGUUUCAUAACUUAUUUUAUUUGUUGGCAUGUUUGACCAAAAUGUUUUAGCUAUUUUAGUGCAUCUUUUUGAAGAUUUUGUGCAACUAAUCUCAUGAUUAUAAUUCGAGAUGAGAUUAGAUUAAGUAAGAUUAUUUUUCAAGGAUUGUAAUGUGAUCUACUUAUCGUAUAUAUUGAAAUACGCAAUCCAAGAAUAUAUUAGCUACAUUUAUGAAGGUUUAUUUCAAUACUUUGUAUCCUUAUAUUACGGGUAUUUGAUUUGAUGAGAUUAGUAUAGAUCAAGAUAAGUGGUUAGUUUGUGAACUUAGAUUCAUGCUCUAAAUAUGGAAGGAUUGUUCAACCUUGAAAUAGGUAAUUAUGUUGGAGUUGUUAUGAGAGCAAUUACAACUACACUGGACACUACUCAGAAAUUAUAACUUAUCUUAUUUGGAUUUACAAUAUUUUUGAUCAAAUCAAUUGGGCCAUGACUUAGAUGAUUUUUUGAACUUGUGUUAACCCAUACUUAAAGAUCCAUUUUAUGGAGCAAUAAAUCUAGAACAACCUAAUUUUUAAUGGCACCAAAAAGUCAAUUUCAAAAUCUCAUUUUUGUAAAUCAAGUCUUAAUAUUUACAAGACUAAUAUAGAAAUAUAUUAAAGUUUUGUCUAGUAAUUUUUCCAAAUUGAUAGCUAACUAGGGUAUAAAGACUAAAUUAUAAAAAUUUAAUCGUUGUAAAUUUUUAAUUGACCAAAAACUUAGAGACUAAAAUUUAAAUUAGUCAAAAGUUCAAAAUGAUAAUUAAACCAUUUUGAGUAAGUGUUAGUGGAACUGGAUGAUAUGUGUAUUAUUAAAAUGAUUAUUAAUUAAUUAAAAAAUAAAUAAAUUAAAACAUAAACAUGUUAUAAAAACCAAUUUUGGUGGAAGGAAAGAGAAAAUUAUCUUCAUCUUCCGCCUACAACCCGUCCACCUCCACAGAAGAGAAAAACAAAAGCUUCCAAAGGUUAUCAAUUUUCGACCAUUAGGUAUUGUAAUUAAAUAUUUUUUUUAUAAUUUUUAUGUUUUUAAGGUCACGGGAGCUUUAUUUAGCUGACACAUAUAUCAAUUUGUAAAACUGUUAAAGUUUUAAAAGUUGUCAUUGUUAAUUUCUUAAAGAAAUUGGUGUUAAAUUGAUAGAUUUUAAGCUUAGAUUGUAAAAAAUGAUUAGAGUGUAAAAUUUAAUUGAUAGUUUUGAACAUAAAAACUACAGUGAAUAAUUUUUAAAAUUUUUAUAAAACUAAUAAUUUUGAACAUAAGGACUAAAGUGAACAUAACCACUCUCUCUUUUUUCUUAUUAGUAACUAUGUCAUGAACUCUUUAUUAUGAAAAUAAAUUAAUAAAAAAUAAAUUGGCGUCAAGUAUUUAUGUGAGUUUGUUUGAGAUUUGGGUUUUAAUGUUAUUGCAUAAGUAAAAUAAAAAAAAAGUUAUUACAUAAUCUGAACUUGAACCAUAAAACAGAUAUAAAAGAUACAAAAAAAUAUAUCCGCAGUUAUUACGAAAUAGCAUAAGCUUACUAUAACAACCCGAAUUUUAGUGAUAUUAGAAAAUGCAGUUUUAGGAUCCUGUUUCCGUAAAUCGAGUCAAUAGAUUAGAAAAUGAAUUAAGUACUUAAAUUGCAAUUAACCUGAGGUCUAAAACAAGAAUUAGACCAUUUAAAAAAUGUGAUAGUGCAGGGUUGGAUUAGCCAUGUCAUUAGCUUAAUUAAAUUAAGAUUUAAUUAAUUUAAAACAUGUUUAAUUAAAACUAAUUAAUUAGGUGAUACGCCUUCAAAAAAAGGGGCCGAAAGUGUUGGAGCCUGUUUUUUACUUCCCUAUUGCCCCAAGAAAGUAGGUGAUAGAGCCUGUUUUUGACCUCCACUUGGAUUAAUUAUUUGCCAAAUUAAUGAGGUAUGUGUCUUAAUUUCACCAGAUUAAACAUUAAAACACUAUUUUAUAGUAGAUGUGUCAUGUGAGUCAUAUUUUAAUGUUAAAUAAUAAUUUUAUUUUUUAAAGAAAAAAAAAGACUAGGCUGGUGGCAUGACUUCUAUUAUGUUUUUCUUUUCUGCAAAAAGUUUCUCCCACUUUCGAUAUUCUAUUCAUAUAAAAAUAACGAUAAUAAGAUAUUAAAGUCAUUUUUUAUUAAAAUAAAUUUAUUAUUUUAUUCUUCCUAAUUCCUAUGGUUUCCAACUGUAUUAUAAUAUCAAACAUUUAAAUAAUUUAACAUGAAAUAAUCAGGCACCAAAAAGGAAUGAUGUCGAGUAGCUCAAUGCUAUAACGAUUCAUUAUCUCUUGUUAUUCAGCUAAUCCUUGUACUAACUAAGGUGAAGUUGGCAAUGGAGAUAUAAGAUAGCUCCAUGGACCCAACCGAUCACCCGAAUCAUCUCAGGUCAUUCCAUUAACUCAGAAAUGUCUCUGACCCAAUCUAAUGUUGUAUCUUCCCCACACAAUUUUAUAACCCAUUUCAAGAGCUGCAAAGUAGCAUCCAAAACCAAACCACAAAAUUCGAAAGAAACACUAUGAGAAUAUGUAAGACAAUUCCACAUAAUGACCUUAGAAAGUCAAGUACUCUAAACAUUAAACUCUAUAACAUUUAAAACCACUUUGCUAUAAAUUUCACUCUUCCUAAACCAAUACCAAUUUCAGCAUAGGAGGUUCCUCAAAUUACGAACUCUAAUGCCUCUAACCCAUUUUCUCAUUUUGUAAAACAAUUAAAACAUUAACACGAUUUAUCAUCACAAACCAACUUUAAGAUGGACAUAUCCAAGGUAUAAUGCAUAAGGAAAUUGAAUAUUAAAUAUUUCGUUCAUUUUGAAGUGUAUUUACCAAUAACUAAUUGACGAAUAUGAUAUAUUUUUAUAAAUAUUGGUUGUUUGUGCCAUUAUGGCAAAUUUAUACUCACUAAUAAUUGUUGGGUGCAAUAGUAAAGCACAUUGCGCUCUCAAGGAGAGAAUACAAGUUAGAACCUUAAAAAUAAAAUUAUUGGUAGGGACAACCACGAAUCUUUAAUAUGGAUCGAAAAACAUAUAUGAAAGAUACAAAAAAUAUAUAUCCAUAGUGAUUACAAAACAGAAUAUGCUUGCAAAACUUUAGCUCGUUACGUAAAAUCUAGUAUAAUACUAAUGAUAAUGAAAAAAGCAAAAGAGAGAAGGCAACAUUUAAUCAUUGAACUCAAGUUCUCUUAACUUGGCUCAUCAAUUUUUUUAGUCUACAUUAGUACUUGAAUUUAAUAAAUUUUCUCAAUUUUUCUCAAUUUUGAUCUAUGUGAUAAUAUGAUACUUUUAAUUGAAUCAUAUUAUCACCUAAAUAUUUUUACAAAAUAGAUGAUAACAUGAUAUAAUAUAAGUGCUAUAUCCUCAAAUUAAUCUAAACUGGAAUGGAAAAAGAUUCUAAAAGCAAUGUGAACAAAAGAAAUUUAAAGAUUAAAUUUAAGAAAGUUAGCUUUUAUCCUAAAGCAAAAGCAACACGUCAUUGACUGAUGAAGGACCCCCCUUUAUUUAUCAUGAUGAUUACUUAUAAUAUUAAUAUUCAACGUUAAAAUAAAUUGAAAUUAUGUCUAUUUUAAUUGUAAUUACUUUAAUAAUAAAUGUAAUAUAUUAUAAUUCAAAUUCGAUAAUCAAGUCAAGUAUAAGGUGUUACACUUACAUAACUAGUCAUAAUAAAUAAAUUAUAUAAUUAUUGUAUAGAAUGUGUCAUUAAAGUCAUACUUUAAUACUAAAUAAUAAUUUUAUUUUUCAAAUAAUAAUAAUAAUAAUAAGACUAGGCUCGUGGCGUAACUUUUCUGCAAAAAGAUUCUCCCACUUUCGAUAUUCUAUUCAUAUAAUAACAAUAACAGUAAUAGGAAAUUAAUUCAAAAUUGGCGAAUAUGCAGUAGUCAUUUUUUUAUUAAAAAGUUCACUUUAAGACUCCUUUUUUCCAACAAUGUUUAAAUUUAUUACUUUAUUCUUCCUAAUUCCUAUGGUUUCCAAUUGUACUAUAAUAUCAAACAUUUAAAUAAUUUAAUAUAAUUAAACAUAAAGUAUUUUACAAUUUUAAAUAUAAUGCUACGUGAUAUUUAAAUAUUUAUUAUAUGAAUUUUAAAUAAUUUUUUUAAUAAUUAAUAUAAUUAACAAUUUUGAUAUUUUCACUUCAAAAUUGACUAGUCAUAUACUAAAAAUACUUAAAUCCUAAUUAUUAGUUUUUAGUAGAAAAUCACUUUUAAUUACAAUUUGGUAUUUUUUUAGAUGGAAAGUACUUUUAGUAUCUUUUAGGAUUGUAAUGUUUUAAUUACCGAACCUCAAAUAGUUACAAUAUGAUCACUAAUGUUGUCGGUUUGUUAUAUUUUAGUCGCUGAGUUAUUAAUUAUUUUUAAUGGUUUAACGGCUAGCUGAUGUGGCAUACGAUAUGAUCACUAGCAUUAUUAAUUUAUUAUAUUUUAGUCAUUGAGCCAUUAAUUGCCAUAAAGAUGUAAUGGAAAAUUAAUGUGACAUUUUAUAUCAUUAUUUCACAUAAAAAUUUUAGUAUAGAUUGCACAACUUCUAUGCAAUUUACCCUAAAAUUUAUUCAACUUGACACAAACUUCUCAUCCAACCAGAAAAAGCUUAGGAACUUGAUACACAUGCUUCCCUAAGGCAAGAAAAGCACCAAGUUUUUAUCUUUAAAUAGCAAAGCCCUUGAGGUUUAGGAUAAAUCAAAGCAUAAGCACAAGAGUGAAAAAGGCCAUCGAGAGAGAUACUUCUUUUGUGAAAAUGACAUUGCCAAGGUUCAUCGUUCUCAAAGCCCCCGAUGCUGAAAAGUACCUCCGCUGCAGACCCGGCAAUGGCAUAUACAAGGGCUACGCCACGUUCACCGAAAAGAUGGCUGUGAGCGCAGAUGCGAAAUUCGAAGUGGAGUUCGCUAAAAAUGGGCUGGUGCACAUAAGGAGCUGCACCAAAAACAAAUAUUUGAAACGAACUCAUAACCCUUCCAUCACCAGAAGAGAAUAUGAGGAGUACUGGAUUACUAUAACCUCCGAUAAGCCGGAAGAAGACACAAAAAAGGAGUCAUGCACAUUGUUCAAGCCUAUCUUGGAAGACUCUUUACAUGGAAAUUAUCGAUUUGUCCAUGCUCAAUCUGGACACUAUUUAUGCUUAUGGCCAUUGGCUACAGGGUAUCUCAAACGUGGCGUGUUGGCAAACCCCAAUCGUGCUGCAGAUAAUCAGAAUGAUAUCUUCAAAGUUAUUGAUUGGGAGUCGUUGGUGAUUCUGCCUAAGUUCGUUGCUUUCAAAGGAAAAAAUAAUAUGUUCCUUGGUCUUACUGAAGCUGGGGAACAGCGUUUAAAAUUCUCGUGUGGGGAUGUUGGUGAUCACCAUGUGACAAUGGAGGUUUUCUAUAGGAACAAUGGUGACAUCCGGAUCAAGCCGGUUUCUUCCGAUAGGUUCUGGAGGAGUAGCCCGAAUCGUAUUCGGGUGGAUUCUGAUGAAAAUAAAUGUAAGGAUAAGGACACUCAUUUUCGUGCCUUCAAAGUCGACGGUAAGACCAUAGCUCUGCGCAACGUCGGCAACGAAAAGUUCUGCGACUUGAAGGAAACGACCGGUGACCUUGCUGCAACCGUCCCUUCGAUUACUAAAGAAACCUACCUAUGUGUUCUAGAGCCUGUGUUGUCCAGGACAAUUUAUAACCUCCGAUACGACACAGAAAAUGCUCGGGUCUAUAACGAAAAGGUCCUUGUUGUGGCCCAGAAUUCCGCCACUAACCGUACCACCCAAGCCAAGACACUCGAUGUGAAACUUUCCUAUAGUGAGACCAAUACCAGUACUUGGCUAGCUCAUUUUACACCAGGUCUUGAAACCAAAGCCACCUUCCAAGUCGGGGUUCCAUUCAUCGGUGAAACAGGUGUCGAAAUAUCUUCCAAAUACGAAACAGGAAUCAAGUGGGGAAAGACCAAGACGAUGACCACCGACAAGGAAGUUACGCACCAAGUUAGUGUGCCGCCCAUGACUAAGGUGACGGUGUAUCUUAAGAUGACCUAUGGCACGUGCGAUGUUCCCUUCGUGUUCACUCAAAAAGACACUCUUUAUAAUGGGACCUUUGUUGUAACUGAUGUCCUAGGUAACACUUUCACUGGUACUAAUUAUUACAACAUCCAAUGUGAUAGCAAAGAACCCCUCACCUCUGGAAAUCAGAACAUCAACGUAUUUUGCGAAAUAUGUAAAAUAAAAAUUUAAAAAAAUUAUUGUAAAAAUUUUCAUUUUAAAGUUUUAAUAUAAACUAUUAUUCCCACUCAUUUUUUUUAGUUUUAUUUUUUUAUUUAGAAAUUAUGCAGCAACAUUUUACUUUUUUUUUAAUUUUCGUUUCAAAUUAUAUUACAUAACAUUUUACAUGAUAUUUAAUGAUUAAGUUAAUGGUUUCAAUAAUAGAAGGAUACCGUCAAUAGUUUGGGGAUAUAAUUAUAGAAUUUUGGAAGUUUGAGGAUUAAUUUAGAAUGAAAAUCAUAAUUGGAGGAUUUCUAGUACAAUUAAUUCUAAUUCUUAAAGGAUUUUUGUGUUUUUGCUAUGUUUUGAUGUUUUUUUAAUUUUCAAUUUUGGUCCUACGUAAUUAGAGUUUAUCAUGGGUCAAGUCGGGCUAGUGCAAAAAAGUCAAUCCCCUUUUUUGGGCUUAGGUCCAACCCUGCUCGAAAAUGAGUUUAAAAUUUUAUCCAAACCUAGCCCAAAUAAAAAAUGCUAAACUCAGGCUCGGCCAGCAUUAAUUUUUUUAGAUUAUUUUUAUAUAAAAAUAAAUUUAAAAAAUAUAAUAAAACAAAUAGACUAAAAAUAUUAAAAUAAACAUUUUUCAAUAAAUUAAAAAUACAGAUAAAAAAUAUUUAUAUUUAAAUAACACUAAUAUAGUUGCAACUUAACGAAAAAAUACUUCUAGAAUAAUAGUAAAAUUAAUAAUAAAAUAAGAGUUAUAGAAUAUUCAAACUAUUAUUCUUUGAAGUCCAUACAUAAUAGGUAUAAAAAUAUUUUCCCACUUAAUUAAUAUUUUAUUACUAAUCUUUUUUCGACUUAAAUUAAAACAUUCUUAUUUACUUGCUAUAAGAACCUUAAAUGGUAUAAUACUGUUUUAAGCCUUAACCCUUUAUUUAAUGAAAGAAUUACAUUUUGGUCCAUCCCAAAUAUUAAUAAGUGAAUUAAAUUAAUAAGUUGUUUUAACACAAUUUUUAGAUUUAACCCCAAUUUUUUUAAUUAUAAGAUUAAAAUAAAAACUUUUUAAAACCCAAGGGGAAUUAAUUGAAAUUUUACAAAAUUUAAGUACAGGCCCUGCUACCCCUAAUUCACCUCUGGUUGGAGAGAAACUUGCAUUAAGCUAUCAAAUAUAAAUGUCAGUACCAACAGCUUAAAGAAACAAGUGAUUAAGAGGUAAAACAAUCAAACAUUUUAAUUCAAACAAUCAAACUCUAGGUAAGAUGUUAGUAUAAAAACUUAUUUUAUUUAAACUUAAUUAGAAAGUAAAUAAAUAUUAAUAUAAAAAUUAAUACUUAUUAUUUUUAAAUGAUAAUACAAAGUGUUGAGGCAAAAACAAAUUCGAACCUUGAAGAUGGAAUUAUUGGUAGGGGCAACCACAAAUCUUUAACAUGGACCAAAAGACAUAUAUGAAAGAUACAAAAAAUAUAUCCUUAGUGAUUAAGAGAUAGAACAGGCUUACACAACUUUACCUCAUUAUGUAAAAUCUAGUAUAACGCUAAUGAUAAUGAGAAAAGUAAAAGGAACUUUUUCCCCUUGGUUCAUCAAAUGUUUUGGUCCAUAUUAGUGCUUGAACUUGAUAAAUUUUUUCAAUUUUAAUCUAUGCGAUGAUGUGAUACUUUUAGUUGCGUAAUGUUAUCACCUACUUUUUUAUAAAAAUUAUUAUUCUUUGAAGUGAUGACAUGACACAAUAUAAAUACUACAUUUUCACAUUAAUCUAAAUUGGAAUGAAAAAGAUUCCAAAAGGAAUGUGUACAAAAGAAAUUUUAAAAAAAUUACCUUUUAUCCAAAAGGAAAAGCAAUAGGAAUGAGGCGUCAUUGAUCGAUGGUGGAACACACGUUUCCAGCUUUGGAUUUUGUUCUUUCUUAUGGUCCCUAGAAAUUAGGUGAUGAGCCUUUUUUUUUCCUUCCACUUGGAUUAAUUAUUUGCCACACUAACGGGGUAUGUGUCUUAAUUUCACAAGAUUAAAAAAUUAUCAUUUUUUUUUGUAAAACACUGUUAUAAAAUUUUAAAAAAUAGACAUGAUGAUGUUUUAAUUUCACUUACAAAAUUAAAAUAAUUUCGUUAAUAUCUAUGCUAUAUAAAUCUCAAUUUAAUUAUUAAAUUAUUUUUAUUUUAAUAAAAUAUAAAUAAUAAAUUAAGGUUAUUUUUAUCUUUUUAUACAAAAAUUGAAAAAAUAUAUAUGUUUAUCAUAAGAUUUGAAUUCAAGACAUCAAAUGUAUAAUAUCUCAAUUUUAUCAUUUCAAUCAAAAUAAUAUUUAUUUUUUAUAUCAAUUCAUAAUAAAUUAAAUUAUUAUUAUGAAAUAAUCAAAGGAAAGAACAAACUACAGAGAAAAUAUUAAUACAAGUUUUGAUUCAUCUAUUUAUAGACCUUCUAAUGUAAUACAAUCCCUUAAAUUACAAAGAAAAAAAUAGAGGUUUAAUUACAAUAUAAAACGCUACCAUAAUAAAGUAAUAUUUAUAACAAUUACAUAAUUAUUGCACUAAUAUAAUACAUGUGUGUCAUAAUUUAAUAUUAAAUAAUAUUUUCCUAUUUUAAAGAAAAAAAAAAGACUACGCUCGUGGCAUAACUUUUAUGUUUUUCUUUUUGGGAUAAAUAUUAAAACUACAUAUGAACUAUGAUUUAAUGUGAAAUUAUAUACACGAACUUUGUUUUUGUUCAAUUUUAUAAAUGAAAUUUUGAUUUGAUCCCAUUCUUGUAAAUUAUUAGCACAAUUAUUAAUAUAACAUCAUUUUAUAUUUAUAUAUUGCAUACAUAAAUAAUUAUAUUUAUCUAAUAUUAAAAUAAAUUAAUGUAUUUAUUUCUUCAAAUAUAUAUGAUUAAAUCAAAAUUAAAAUUUUAAAUAUGCAAUUGAGUUACAAUUAAAAUUGCACAUAUAUAAUUACAUCAAAUUAAAUUUCAUAUAUAAUAUUAUACAUAUAAUUUUCAAAUUUAUCCUUUUCAUUUUCUGCAAAAAGAUUCUCACAAAUUUUAAUUUGAUGUUUCUGAUUAUUUUAAUUGUACGUCUCCUCCCACUUUCAAUAUUCUAUUAGUAUAAUAAUGAUGAAUUAAAUUUUUUAUAAGUAAUUUAACCAAAAUUAUGUUUAAUUAGAAUUCAGAGACUAAACUAUAAGGUCCAAUCAUUAUAAAUUAGAAAAUGAAUUAAGUACUUAAAUUGCAAUUAAUCUGAGGUCUAAAACAACAAUUAGACCAUUUAAAAAAUGUGAUAGUAGACGGUUGGAUUAGCCAUGUCAUUAGCUUAAUUAAAUUAAGAUUUAAUUAAUUUAAAACACGUUUAAUUAAAACUAAUUAAUUAGGUGAUAGAGCCUGUUUUUUACUUCCCUAUGGCCCCAAGAAAUUAGGUGAUAGAGCCUGCUUUUGACUUCCACUUGGAUUAAUUAUUUGCCAAAUAAAUUACAUAAUUAUUGCACUAAUAUAGUAUGUGUGUCAUGUUAGUCAUAUUUUAAUAUUAAAUAAUAUUUUUAUUUUUUAAAUAAUAAUAAAAAAAAGACUAGGCUUGUGGCAUGACUUUUCUGCAAAAAGAUUUCUCCCACUUUCGACAUUCUAUUCAUAUAAUGAUAAUAACAGUAUAGUCAAUUUUUAUUAAAAAGUUCACUUUUAAGACCAACAAUGUUUAAAUUUAUUAUUUUAUUCUUCCUAAUUCCUAUGGUUUCCAAUUGUAUUAUAAUAUGAAACAUUUAAAUAAUUUAAUAUAAUUAAACAUAAAGUAUUUUACAAUUUUAAAUAUAAUGCUACGUGAUAUUUAAAUAAUUAAUAUAUGAAUUUUAAUUAAUUUUUUAAAUAGUUAAUAUAAAUAACAAAUUUGAUAUUUUUACUUCAAAAUCGACGAGUCAUAUAUUAAAAAUAUUUAAAUCCUAAUAAUUCUAAUUUUGAUUACUAUUUCAUAGUAAUUGAUUUUUAGUGAAGGAAUGAUAUAAUAGUUACUAUGAGAUAAAAUAAGAUUAUAUUGGGAGAAUGAAUUAUCCCAAAGAGAUUAAAGAUAUCCUAUGAGGGUAACACACUUAUUAUAAGGUCAUUAGACGAGCACUAAUUAAGUAGCUUUUAUUAUAAUUUGUAAUAAAGUAGAGCUCAAACACAAUAUUGUAGUGGAAUGACUUCGUAACUAAGUAAGUUUACAAUCAAUAAGAAAAAAGCUGGAACUUAAUUAUAAAUUGUUUGAGCCCUAAUUAUAUAUGUCAAAUCGGUUCCUCUGCUAGCUCGUUGAAACUAGAAACGAAUUGCAUGUAGAAUCAAAUGACAAAAAAUAGAUAGAAAUGAUAGAGUUAGAGAAAUGGGUCACAUUCGCAAAUGAAUGUGUUUUCUCACUGAGUAAUUAGAAAUGAUUUGAGAAUUAAUUUAUGUCUUUCGAAUAUUAUUUAAUUAAAUAAUUAAAGUUCGAAAAUGAAAUUAAACUAAUUAGUAAUUGUGGAUCCAUUGAAUAUGAAAAUUAAAUAUAUUUCCUUAGAGAUUCUUUUACGAUAAAGUUAGCAUGACUUUAACAAAAUUAGAACUGGAUUGAGAAAAUUAUUUAUUUUAAAAACUAAUUCAUCUAAUUAAAUUAAUUAAUAAAUAAUAUUUAUUUUGGGUUAGAUUAAAUUAUAAAGUGUUGCUUUAAAAGUAUAAUAAAUACAUAUAAUUUGAUCCAAUACAGGAGAUGUCCGAAUUUCCCUCAUAAUACAUGAGAGGGGUGACACACUCUAGUAAAAUUUACUGGGGUUGUCGCCCCACCUCUUUUAGUUCAACUAGAAGACUAGUUUUUCUAUUGAAUAAAUAGUUUUUAUGUAAUACUAAUUCAACCAGGAUUCUCCUAUCUAUCUCUGUAAAUAGAUAGUACUAAUAGAGCUAUUUACAACAGUUCAGAUAAGUUUUCAAUAUUUCUAUUCUGUAAGAAAAUAGUAAGAAUUUAUUUUCUAAGUAUAAAUUUUGUUUUCUGGGAAUUAUAAUUCUGUCAGUUUCUAUUUAGAGAGAAUUACUUUCCUACUGAAAGUAAUAAAUCAUUUUUGGUUCCGUGUUUGGUUCGUGACUAUUUGAGCCUACACUCGAAACAAUUUAUAGUACAAGAAUAGCGGAGAAGGUCAUUCGGUUGAAAGUUAGGAAUGUCUAGGAUCCAGUUAGCAUAAACCACAAUUCCUUUUUAGGAAAGAAUUAUUUCUACAAAUGUCAAUCCCAAAUAUAAUAAGUCAAUUUGUAACAGUUUAUUUUUUAGUGGUGUCAAAAACAGUGAUUUUAGGACCACAACUCCAACGUACCGGUUCGUAAAUAUUAAAUAAAUAAUAUUUACGAGGUCAUUAAUGUCGUAUUAAAAUUUGAUUAUAAAAUUUUAACGUUUAGUUAGUUAGUUAAGUAAAAUGGACUAAAUCGUAAAAAAUGUGAAAGUAGAAUUCCAUUAAUUAAAAGGGUUAAAUGUCAAUUAAAGGGUAAGGUAAGGCAUCUAAAUGGUACCAUUUAGGAGGUUAAUGGACGGUUUUGAGACUUUAUUAGUUCAAUUUUAAGUGAAAUUUUAAAAGGGCAAUUAGGUAAUUUAUUAAAUAAACUUUAAUUACAUUGAAAUUAAAUAUGAAACAUAUCAUCUUUCAUCUUCAUCAUCCCUUUUGCCGAAAACCCUAGAGCAGAAAAGAGAAAAAUUUAUUAGCAUUGCUCCAUUAUUUGGUAAGAGUUUUGCUACCGGUUUUUAGUAAUUUUUAUGUUUUUGAGUUCGUAUUAGUUUAAUAUAACUAGCCUAAGGAUCAAUUCAUAGAACUGUUAAGCUUGAUAAAUUUUUCCAUUGAAGAUUUGAGUUGUUCUUGAUUGAUUAUGGAGGAUUUUGAAGCUUUGUUAUUAAAUUUGAUUAUUUUGUAAGUGAUUUUGAUGAUUUUGAUGUUUAGGGAUUAAAUUGCUAAAGUGAUAAAACUGAAGGAUUUGAUGUGAAAUGGGCCGUAAUGAGAGCUAUUAACUUUCUGUUGGUAUGGGUUCUUAAUAAAAAUGGGUAAAUUGCAUGAUUAAGGCCUAGGGACUAAAUUAAAUAAAAAUAAAAAGUUGAGGGUAAUUUUGUAAAUUGUCAAAAAGGACCCAAUUUCAUAAAUAGCCUGAGUUCCUGUUGAUUUAGUUAAUUGAAUGAAAUUAUUAUUUUAUAUCAAGAACGUGUUGAAAAUCGAGGAAAGGAAAAAAUAGCUAAUUAGUCCAUGCACUUCCGUUGUUGCUACAAAUCAAUCUAGUAAGUUCAUUAAGUUAAAGUUUAAUACAUUUUUCUUGAUUGCUUGUUAUAUAUGUAUAUAUGUAUAUAUAUAUAUUAAAUCGUUGAGAGUUCAUGAUGCACAUGUAAUGAAUCACUGAGAACCUAUUUACGAAUGGAUAUAACACUGAUUGAUGUUAAGACUCCUGAACAAGUAAACAUAAGAUCGAGCUCCUCUGAUAUGCAAAAAAAAAGGGUGUGGUGUAUGUAGAUUUGGAUUAGCUGGAGAUGGGAUGAUAAUUCAUGUUUAUUCAUGUUUUCCUAAUUAUAUCGAUGUCCAGCAUUUGUUGCGGACUAUCGAGUUUUAUUUAGGUUUAUCUGGAGUGUUUACGGGGGCAGUCGUUAGCCGAUGUAGUCGUUGAGAGCACCAAAUGUAAUAGCCUAAAUUUUCAGUGGUGUCGGAACAGUGAUUCGAGAUCACUAAAUCCGAAAAAUGAGUAGAAAAUAUUAAUAAUUUAGUGAAUAUAAGUUAAGUGUGAAGUUAGGAAAAUUUUUGAAAUAGCGAAUAAUGUACUAGAAAUAAAAAUUUUAAAAAUUAGAAUCGAAAAUGAGAUAUCGAGAGUUUGAAAAUUUUAAAAUGAGCCAUAAAUAUUUUUAUAAAUAUUUAUGGAGUGUUAAUAAGUUAGUAUUAAAGUUUCAUUAAGAAAUUUUAAAGUUUCGAUAGUUAAUUGAAUAAAAAGAAUUAAAUUGUAACAAAUGUAAAAUUAUGGGAAAUGAUUAAAUAGCUUAAAUGAUAAAAAAAAGAGGGUUUAAAAGGUAAAUAGACCCAAGGUCUAUUUGGGCUGGACGGCAAAGUGCAUGAAAUCAGCAGGAAAAUUGAUGAAUUAAAGGUAAAAUUGGAAUAUUGUAAAAUUUACUUAAUAAACUAGGACUAAAGUGGAAUUAUCUAGAAUUCUCAUUAUUUUUCUGCAUUCUCAACAGCAAAAACACCAUAGAAGGGUUUUAUUAAGCUGGUUUUUCAUAUUUUUACUGCAAGUAAGUUCAAUUCUUGAUUAUUUCUUGAAUUUUUUGUGUUUUUAUGACAUUUACAACUAGGUCCACUUGUUGAAUUCAUUAGUUUUUGAUUCUAUGAAAGAAAUUGGAAGUUGUUAUGAAUAUAUGUUGGAAGUAUAUGAUGAUUUAUCAUGGAAUUAGAGUUUUAAAUUGUUUAUAUGCUGAUUUUAUUGAAAGAAUUGAAUAGAAAGUGAAUGUUUGGGACCUAAUGGUGAAAGAGUUUGAAGUUAGGGUUUUAUGUGGAAAUUAUGAAUUUAAAUAAUUGUGAAAUAACUUAUAAUGUCUAGGUAAAGCAUUAAUUGGGAAAAAUUAGCUUCAUUGAGGGAUUAAAUGAGCAAGGACUGAAUUGUAUGAAUGUGAAAUUUGGGGCAAAAAACGAAAUCAACAUUUGCACUAAAACAGUUUUGGACAGCAGCAGUAGUCUAACUUUGAAAAAUCACCAUAAAUUUUAUAAAUCGAAUUAUAAAAUGAAAAAAAUAUGAAAUUAAAUCUUAUUGAGUCUAGUUUCUCAUAGAAGAAACGGUGUAAGCAACGGAAUUGUAGAUCAUGAGAUAUAAUAGAUUUUAUGAGACAAUGUCAGAAUGAUUUCGGGUUCCCAUGUUCUGAAUUUGGAAAAUCAUAAAAAAUUGGAUAAAAAUAAUUAGGGGCUUAAAUUUAUAUUUUAAAAUCCUUAAUGAGUCUAUUUUCAAUAAAAACAAACAUGGACAUCAUCCGAAUUCUGUACGAAGAGAUAAUUAAUUUUUAGUGAAGAAGGGUCAGAAUUGUCAGACAGCAGAACAGGGGUGAAUUUAAAGAAUAAACUGUACUUAUUGACUAAACAAAAAAUUAUAAAACUUUUAUGAUAAGAAGAUAUAUGAGUCUAGUUUCAGGAAAAAUUAGCGGAUCCUAAUUUGGAGUUCUGUAGCUAAAGAUAAAAAUAAUUUAGUGACUAUGGCACUGAUGGACAGCAUUGGAAUAUACAUAAGUAAAUAAUGAAAUUAUAGAUAAUAUUACUUAUAAGCGGGUUGAAGAUGAAGUCAAUACUGAUAAGUGAAUGAUUUUACAAUGAUAGAUCGAGAACCCGAAGCAAGUCGAGGAAAAUAAAAAGUAGCUGAUUAGUCCCUGAACUUUCACAAAUUUUACAAAUCGACCCAGGUAAGUUCAUAUGGUUGAAGUUUAAUGAUUAUAUGUUAAUUUUAUGAAUUAUAUAAUGUAAUAUGUAUGAUGAAAUAUAUUUAUUGAUAAAUAGAGAAUAAAAUAACAACACGAAAAUCGAAUAAUUGAUUAAAUUAAGUGGAAUGUCGGAUUUGAGUACUUUUGAUCAAUGACAAGUGAUAAGUGGUAGCCUCAGCUACACUUAUCUGAUCACUGAUAAGUGACAAGCGACAAGCGACAAGUGAUAAGUGGUAGCUUUAGCUACACUUAUCUGAUCAGUGACAAGUGAUAAGUGAUAAGUGGUAGUUUUAGCUACACUUAUCUGAUUGGUGACAAGUGAUAAAUGUGAUCAGUGUAAGACCGUGGUAGGACUAUGACUUCAAAAGGUGAUAAGUGAUCAUACGCAAGACCAUAGUUAUACUAUGGCAAAGUGAAAGAGAAGUACUCAAUUUUCCGUAACCAUUCCCUAAUUUGGUUAAAGAAUGAUAUGUGACAAAUGGGCCCAAAAGAAUUAAAGGAAAUGGAUAAAUGGUAGUAAGUUUAUACAAGGGAACUCACCAAUGGCUGUGGUUGACAGGUGAACUUAAUAAUUGUGUAUAUUGUAUAAGUGUAUAAAUAUUUGGUAAGAUUUAUGUUUUAUGCCUAUGAACUUACUAAGCUUCUAUAAGCUUACAUGAGUGUAAUCAAUGUCUCUUGUAGAUUGACGUGGAAGUAUACGGAGGAUCGGAUCAACACAGAGGAUCACACUAUCCAGAUUAUCUCCGGUAGCUUUUGUAAAUUUCUUUUUGAUUUAUAUGGCAUGUAUAAGGUUUGAUGAUUAUAUAAAUAUUAAGACUUGUUUAAGAAAUAUACAUUAAAGUAAAGAAUGAUGAAUAUGUUAAAUAGUAUAAUUAUAAUAGUAGUAUAAUUUGGUAUCAAAUUGAUUGAAAUGAAUUGGUUGUUUGGAUUGGUCUCGGUUUUAAAAUUUGCAGGGAAUGUUAGAUAUUUAUAAAGGGGUUAUAUUGAGCAAAAAAAAAAUUGGGAUUUUGCGAAAAAUUCCCUAUGGUUUCGAUUUAAUUCUGGUUUUGUCUCGAAGUAUGUUUUGGGCUCUGGAGGCCCAUCUAAAAGAUGCCAUGACAUGUUUUAGUAAAUGAAUAGUAUUUAACUCGUAUUAAUGGAAAAUUAAUUCAGUAAACUUCGAUAAUGCCUCCUACCCUAUUCUAGCGACGAAUACGAGUAAGGGGUGUUACAUUUAGUGGUAUCAGAGCCCAGUUUAGCCGGUUCUCGAAACAUGUGUUACGUGUAAAGUGUUUAGAAAUACAUGCCAUAUAAAUCUAUGAUAGUGUGAUGUGUAUGAUUCGAUCUAAUCUUUUUGUCAUUUUUAUAGAUAUUCUUCGAUUAUAAAGAUGUCAGAUAGACCUGAACGCAGUGAACAGCAGGAAGCUAUCAGUAGAGUGCAGACUUCUGAACAAGGAACAAGUAGUGAUAUUCUAAUUUUUAUGAUACGAGAGCGAAAACUUAAAAAUAUGAUUUAUGGAGUUAUGAAUCAGUGGUAUAAGGAGAUGAUACAAGAAAGAAGUCAGGCUCAACCACCUUCUCCCCCUACUGCACCACCUGUGGUACAUCCGGUUGCUCCUCCACCUCCUUCAAUAAUUGAAACUAGUAAACGUUCUCCGAUUGAAAAGCUGAGGAAGUUUGGAGCUGAGGAAUUUCGAGGGAGAUCAGAUGAUGAUCUUGUAAAAGCUGAGUAUUGGCUACAGAGUUUGGUAAGAAUUUUUAAACAGAUGGCUUGUUCUCCGAAGGAUUAUCUACGAUGUGCUGUCUCAUUGUUAAAAGAAGAAGCAUAUAACUGGUGGGAAACUGUGGAAGCUGUAGUACCUGCAGAGAAACUUACUUGGGAAUUUUUCCAGAACGAGUUUAAAAAGAAAUAUGUGGGGAAAAGAUAUCUAGACAAGAAAAAGAGAGAAUUUCUUGAUCUACGGCAGGGAAAUAAGUCAGUGGCUGAAUACGAAAGAGAAUUUGUCUACCUCAGCAAAUAUGCUCGAGACAUUGUACCUACUGAAAAAGAAAUGUGUAUCAGAUUUGAAGAAGGGUUAAAUGAUAAGAUUAGAAUGAUGAUUGGGGGUAAUGAAAUACGGGAGUUCGUUGUUCUGUCAGACCGUGCUCAAAAGCUCGAAGAAGUAUAUAACAGAAAAAUGCAACGAGAUCAGAAAAAUAAAGAGCCAUUUAAAAGAGGUGCUUCUAAGUCAUUUUCAGAUUUGCCGGUAAAGAAAUCUAGAGAAGAAAUUAGUCGAACUACAUCCGUGCCAGGAAGAUUGGUUAGAGGUAGAUCAAGACAAUCUGAUUUCAGGGUAUUUGAUCGACCUGCAGCAAGUGUGAGCAGUGUUCAGAAUACUCCCUAGCCUAAGUGUCAAUAUUGUGGAAGACAUCAUUUCGGUGAAUGCAGGACUAAGAUGGGGGUUUGUUAUAAAUGUGGGGCUACUGAUCAUCUUAUUCGAGAUUGUCCCCAGCUGCAAAAAGAUGAAGUGGAUUAGAAAAAGAUACAGAGAACCACUCCACAAAUAAGUAGACGUUCGGGCCAGAGCAGUGCUACAGGGGCUACCCGUUCGGGUGUGAGAGAACCAGUUAGUCAAUCAGAGAAUAGAGCACCAGCACGUACCUAUGCCAUUCGAGCAAGGGAAGAGGCUACGGCUUCUGAUGUAAUUGCUGGUAUUUUCUAUCUUUAUGAUGUUACUGUUUAUGCAUUAAUAGACCCUGGGUCUACUCAUUCAUAUAUUUGCAAUAUGCUAGCAUCUAAAAAGAAAUUAUCUGUUGAGUCCACUAAUUAUGAUAUACAAGUCACUAAUCCAUUAGGUCAAAGUGUGAUGGUUAAUUUAAUAUGUCGUAAUUGUCCACUAAAAGUGAAAGGCUGUGAAUUCCCUGUUGAUUUGAUGUUGUUACCCUUUCAGGAAUUUGAUAUUAUUCUAGGGAUGGAUUGGUUAACAAAACAUGACGCUGUAGUGAACUGUCGAGAGAAACGGAUUGAUUUGAAAAAUCAGACAUGAGAAAUGAUUUCGGCUGAGUUUGGAAAUAUGAAAGAUAAUGUUCGAAUUAUUUCAGCCUUUUCAGCUCAUAAGCUAAUACGGAAGGGUAAUGAAGCAUAUUUAGCUUAUAUUCUUGAUACUCGGGAUUCUGAAUCAAAGUUGAAACAGUUGCCAGUUGUUAAUGAAUUUGCUGAUGUGUUUCUUGAGGAAUUGCCGGGUUUACCACCAGAUCGCGAAGUUGAGUUUGUGAUUGAUGUGAUCCCGGGAACAGCUCCAAUAUCCGUAACACCAUAAAGAAUGGCACCGACUGAAUUAAAAGAGUUAAAGACUCAGUUGCAAGAAUUGUUAGAUAAGGGGUUUAUUAGACCGAGUACAUCUCCUUAGGGUGCACCUGUUUUGUUUGUGAAAAAGAAAGAUGGUUCGUUGAGAUUAUGUAUAGAUUACAGACAAUUAAAUAUGGUUACAAUCAAGAACAAAUAUCCUUUGCCCCACAUUGAUGAUUUGUUCGAUCAAUUGAAAGGUGCUGCUAUGUUUUCAAAAAUAGAUCUUCGAUUUGGGUAUUAUCAGCUGAAAGUUACAGAAUGUGACAUGCCAAAAAUUGCCUUCAGAACUCGGUAUGGUCAUUAUGAGUUUUUGGUAAUGCCAUUUGGUUUAACUAAUGCUCCUGCUGCAUUUAUAGACUUGAUGUCAGAUUUUUCAACCUUAUUUGGAUAGAUUCGUGGUUGUAUUUAUUGAUGAUAUACUGAUCUAUUCGAAGACCGAGCCUGAUCAUGCACAACACUUGAGAAGUGUGUUACAGACUUUGAGAGAGAAGCAGUUGUAUGCAAAGUUCAGCAAGUGUGAAUUUUGGCUACAUGAGGUUGGAUUUCUAGGUCAUAUUGUUUCAGCUGAAGGAAUUCGAGUAGAUCCAAGUAAAGUGUCAGCAGUGGUGAAUUGGAAAACUCUAAAGAACGUAACAGAAGUGCGAAGUUUCCUGGGAUUAGCAGGAUACUACCGCCGAUUUGUUAAAAAUUUUCAAUGAUUGCCUUGCCAAUGACUCGACUACUUCAGAAGAAUGUUGAAUUUGUAUGGUUUGAAGAGUGCCAAGAAAGUUUUGACCAGUUGAAGAAGAUGUUGACAGAAGCUCCAGUGUUAACUUAGCCAGAAUCAGGUAUACCAUAUGUUGUGUAUAGUGAUGCAUCUUUAAAUGGUUUGGGUUGUGUUUUAAUGCAAUCAGGGAAAGUAGUGGCAUAUGCUUCUCGACAAUUAAAAUCGCACGAGAAAAAUUACCCUACCCAUGAUUUGGAGUUGGCCGCAAUUGUGUUUGCUUUAAAAAUCUGGAGACAUUAUUUAUAUGGGGAAAAUGUUAUGUGUAUACCGAUCACAAAAGUCUGAAAUAUUUGAUGACACAGAAAGAGCUGAACUUGAGAUAGAGACGGUGGCUCGAACUAUUGAAAGAUUAUGAUCUUGUUAUUGAUUAUCACCUGGGGAAAGCUAAUGUGGUCGCUGAUGCACUUAGCCAAAAAUCAUCAUUGUUUGCACUUCGAGCAAUGAAUCUUCAUUUGUCUGUUAAUGAAGAUGGCUCAGUAUUAGCAGAAUUGAAAGCAAAAUCUACAUUCCUUCAACGGAUCCGUGAAUUACAGAGUGAUUAUCCGAAACUAGUGCUGAAACGACAAAUAGUUCAGGAUAAUUUGAGUUCAGAAUAUAGCGUUGAUGAUGGUGGUAUGUUGCGUUAUCGUAAUAGAAUUUGUGUUCCGAAAAAAUCCAGAAUUGAAAAAUGAUAUUCUUGCUGAAGCUUAUAAUAGUAAGUAUUCUAUUCAUCCGGGUAGUACAAAAAUGUAUUGCGAUUUAAAAAGAAUGUACUGGUGGCCUGGUAUAAAGCGAGAGAUGUGUGAAUUUGUUGUAAAAUGUUUAAUCUGUCAGUAGGUGAAAGCAGAGCAUCAAGUACCAACGGGUUUAUUACAACCUAUUAUGAUUCUUGAACGGAAGUGGGAACACAUUACGAUGGAUUUUGUAUCAGGAUUGCCUGUGACUCUGAAAAAGAAAGAUUCAAUCUGGGUUAUCGUUGAUAGAUUAACAAAGUCGGCACAUUUUAUUCCAGUCAGAUCAAAUUUUUCAUUGGAGAAGUUAGCAGAAUUGUACAUUUCUGAGAUUGUGAGAUUACAUGGAGUUCCAAUAUCUAUUAUUUCGGAUCGAGAUCCGAGAUUUACUUCGAGAUUUUGGAGUAAAUUAUAGGAGGCUUUGGGCACUAAAUUAAAUUUCAGCACAGCUUUUCAUCCUCAGACAGACGGGCAGUCGGAGCGAGUGAUUCAGAUUUUAGAAGAUAUGUUAAGGUGUUGUGUACUUGAGUUUGGCGGCAGCUGGGAAAGGUACUUUCCUUUAGUCGAAUUUGCUUAUAAUAAUAGUUAUCAAACUAGUAUUAAAAUGGCACCAUUUGAAGCUCUGUAUAGAAGAAAGUGUAAAACUCCAUUAUAUUGGUCUGAAUUAAGUGAACAGAAACUAAUGGGAGUGGACUUGAUUCGGGAAACCGAAGAAAAAGUUCGUAUUAUUCGAGAUUGUUUAAAAGCUGCCUCCGAUCGGCAAAAAUCAUAUGCAAAUUUAAAGAGAAGAGAUAUAGAGUUUAAUGUGGGUGAUCGUGUAUUCUUGAAAGUGUUACCGUGGAAGAAAGUUUUGCGGUUCGGUAGAAAGGAAAAACUCAGCCCACGAUUUAUCGGGCCGUAUAAAAUCAUUGAAAGAAUCGGUCCGGUAGCUUAUAGAUUGGCUUUGCCCCCGGAGCUUGAAAAAAUUCAUAACGUGUUUCAUGUGUCUAUAUUGAGACGUUACAGAUCAAAUCCAUCACAUGUAAUCCCUUAUACAGAAAUAGAGCUCCAACCCGACAUGACUUAUUCAGAAGAACCGGUGAAAAUUCUAGCUUGGGAAAUUAAAGAGUUAAGGAACAAACGGGUACCGUUAGUAAAAGUGUUGUGGCAUAGACAUGGUGUGGAGGAGGCAACCUGGGAAACAGAAGAAUCAAUGAGAUCACAAUAUUCGAACCUAUUUUCAGGUAACAAAUUUCGAGGACGAAAUUUCUUAAAAGGGGGAGAAUUGUAAUAGCCUAAAUUUUCAGUGGUGUCGGAACAGUGAUUCGAGAUCACUAAAUCCGACAAAUGAGUAGAAAAUAUUAAUAAUUUAGUGAAUAUAAGUUAAGUGUGAAGUUAGGAAAAUUUUUGAAAUAGCGAAUAGUGUACUAGAAAUAAAAAUUUUAAAAAUUAGAAUCGAAAAUGAGAUAUCGAGAGUUUGAAAAUUUUAAAACGAGCCAUAAAUAUUUUUAUAAAUAUUUAUGGAGUGUUAAUAAGUUAGUAUUAAAGUUUCAUUAAGAAAUUUUAAAGUUUCGAUAGUUAAUUGAAUAAAAAGGAUUAAAUUGUAACAAAUGUAAAAUUAUGGGAAAUGAUUAAAUAGCUUAAAUAAUAAAAGAAAGAGGGUUUAAAAGGCAAAUGGACCCAAGGUCUAUUUGGGCUGGACGGCAAGGUGCAUGAAAUCAGCAGGAAAAUUGAUGAAUUAAGGGCAAAAUUGGAAUAUUACAAAAUUUACUUAAUAAACUAGGACUUAAGUGGAAUUAUCUAGAAUUCUCAUUAUUUUUCUGCAUUCUCAUCAGAAAAACACCAUAGAAGGGUUUUCUUAAGCUGGGUUUUUAUAUUUUUACUGCAAUUAAGUUGAAUUCUUGAUUAUUUCUUGAAAUUUUUGUGUUUUUAUGACAUUUACAACUAGGUCCACUUGUUGAAUUCAUUAGUUUUUGAUUCUAUGAAAGAAAUUGGAAGUUGUUAUGAAUAUGUGUUGGAAUUAUAUCAUGAUUUAGCAUGGAAUUAGAGUUUAAAUUGUUUAUAUGCUGAUUUUAUUGAAAGAAUUGAAUAGAAAGUGAAUGUUUGGGACCUAAUGGUAAAAGAGUUUGAAGUUAGGGUUUUAUGUGGAAAUUAUGAAUUUAAAUAAUUGUGAAAUAACUUAUAAUGUCUAGUUAAAGCAUUAAUUUGGAAAAAUUAGCUUCAUUGACGGAUUAAUUGAGCAAGGACUGAAUUGUAUGAACUAUGAAAUUUGGGGCAAAAAACGAAAUCAACAUUUGCACUAAAACAGUUUUGGACAGCAGUAGUAGUCUAACUUUGAAAAAUCACCAUAAAUUUUAGAAAUCUAAUUAUAAAAUGAAAAGAAUAUGAAAUUAAAUCUUAUUGAGUCUAGUUUCUCAUAGAAGAAACGGUGUAAGUAACGGAAUUGUAGAUCAUGAGAUAUAAUAGAUUUUGUGAGACAAUGUCAGAAUGAUUUCGGGUUCCCUUGUUCUGACUUUGGAAAAUCAUAAAAAAUUGGAGAAAAAUAAUUAUGGGCUUAAAUUUAUAUUUUUAAAAUCCUUAAUGAGUCUAUUUUCAAUAAAAACAAACAUGGACAUCAUCCGAAUUCUGUAUGAAGAGAUAAUUAAUUUUUAGUGAAGAAGGGUCAGAAUUGUCAGAUAGCAGAACAGGGGUGAAUUUAAAGAAUAAACUGUACUUAUUGGCUAAACAAAAAAUUCUAAAAAUUUUAUGAUAAGAAUAUAUAUGAGUCUAGUUUCAUGGAAAAUUAGCGGAUCCUAAUUUGGAGUUCUGUAACUAAAGAUAAAAAUAAUUUAGUGACUAUGGCACUGAUGGACAGCAUUGGAAUAUACAUAAGUAAAUAAUGAAAUUAUAGAUAAUAUUACUUAUAAGCGGGUUGAAGAUGAAGUCAAUACUGAUAAGUGAAUGAUUUUACAAUGAUAGAUCGAGAACCCGAAGCAAGUCGAGGAAAAUAAAAAGUAGCUGAUUAGUCUCUAAACUUUCACAAAUUUUGCAAAUCGACCUAGGUAUGUUCAUAUGGUUGAAGUUUAAUGAUUAUAUGUUAAUUUUAUGAAUUAUAUAAUGCAAUAUGUAUGAUGAAAUAUAUUUAUUGAUAAAUAGAGAAUAAAACAACAACACAAAAAUCGAAUAAAUGAUUAAAUUGAGCGGAAUGUCGGAUUUGAGUACUUCUGAUCAAUGACAAGUGAUAAGUGGUAGUCUCAGCUACACUUAUCUGAUCAGUGAUAAGUGACAAGCGACAAGCGACAAGUGAUAAGUGGUAGCUUUAGCUACACUUAUCUGAUCAGUGACAAGUGAUAAGUGAUAAGUGGUAGUUUUAGCUACACUUAUCUGAUCAGUGACAAGUGAUAAAUGUGAUCAGUGUAAGACCAUGGCAGGACUAUGACUUCAAAAGGUGAUAAGUGAUCAUACGCAAGACCAUAGUUAUACUAUGGCAAAGUGAAAGUGAAGUACUCAAUUUUCCAUAACCAUUCCCUAAUUUGGUUAAAGAAUGAUAUGUGACAAAUGGGCCUAAAAGAAUUAAAGGAAAUAGAUAAGUGGUAGUAAGUUUAUACAAGGGAACUCACCAAUGGCUGUGGUUGAUAGGUGAACUUAAUAAUUGUGUAUAUUGUAUAAGUGUAUAAAUAUUUGGUAAGAUUUAUGUUUUAUGCCUAUGAACUUACUAAGCUUCUAUAAGCUUACAUGAGUGUAAUCAAUGUCUCUUGUAGAUUGACGUGGAAGUAUACGGAGGAUCGGAUCAACACAAAGGAUCACACUAUCCAGAUUAUCUCCGGUAGCUUUUGUAAAUUUCUUUUUGAUUUAUAUGGCAUGUAUAAGGUUUGAUGAUUAUAUAAAUACUAAGACUUGUUUAAGAAAUAUACAUUAAAGUAAAGAAUGAUGAAUAUGUUAAAUAGUAUAAUUAUAAUAGUAGUAUAAUUUGGUAUCAAAUUGAUUGAAAUGAAUUGGUUGGUUGGAUUGGUCUCGGUUUUAAAAUUUGCAGGGAAAGUUAGAUAUUUAUAAAGGG